This 59095-nucleotide long non-coding RNA is filed under the name Lotus japonicus. Its description in RNAcentral is "long non-coding RNA (LJAP_LNC000010)". The record is from RNAcentral. Lineage: Eukaryota; Viridiplantae; Streptophyta; Magnoliopsida; Fabales; Fabaceae.
UGCAUGAUUGGUUUUGUUUGAGUAUCUGAUUAUCAUUGUUGUAUGUAAUUUCUUGGAAAUGAUCAAGGCAAAUUUUGUUCCAUAUAUACAGCCACUUAGCCAUAUAGCCUACCAUUUACAUGUUAAUUCCAUUGUUAGCCCUUUUGAGCCUGGAAAAGAAUAUUGUUCUGAUUUGUUCUUGUUUAUAACCUUGAGCCUUAAAAGAAAAACAAUGAUCUCUCCUAAGCUGAAUGGUUUAAGAGAGCACUUGUUCAUGAUAUGGUUGUAUUCAAGUUGGGGAGAGAAGGAUAAUAGUGUUAUUUUUGUGUGGUUUGUGUAUCAAUCUGUUUGUACAUACUUGAAAGUGAAAACAAAAAGAUGAAAAAGGAGAAAAAGAGAAUUAAAAAAAAAGAUAGAUUGAUGAAAAGGGUGAAAAGAAAAGAAAAGAGUGGUGAAUGAGAGAGUUGGUAAAAGCACUAGAGUAAUUUAUCAUUUAUGGUUAGUUUGAACUAUGAUUGCUCUCUUAGCUUGUUGAGUACCUUGCAUAUCCAGAAAAACCAAUUUUCUUUGAAGCCUAACCACAUUACAACCCUCAAAGACCUUAGAGAUCCUUGAUUGAACAUGCAGCCUUGAUAACUGCGGAGACGGAUAACAAAAUUGAUUUAUGUGAUUCAGUGAGUGAACUGAGUGAAACACUCGCCUUACUUUGAACAUAAUGAAAUGCUGAGUGAAUGAAUAUCCCUGGUUGGAAAGGAAUGAAUUGUAUGUUUAUUGAUUUUCAUAGUGGAUGUGCAUUUGUAUCAUUGUUGUGUUUUUCUUUUGUAGGCAUCACAUUUCUAAUUUUGGAUCCUUCAAUUUAAAAUCUUAAGAAAUCUUGCAAUUUGAGCUUUUGAGGAUUCAAAGACCAUGCCUGUUGAAUGAAAGUCAUGACCUUUUGUUUGAGGACAAACAAAGUGUUAAGUUGGGGGGAGUUGAUAAGUGCAAUUUUUACGUGUUUUUCAUUAUCAUUAUAGACACUUAUUUGACUAGUAUGCUUGCAUUGUUGAUCAUUUUAUCCCCAAAGUAGCUUGCUUAGAAAAUAUUUAGUUUUAGCAUAAAAAUAAUGUAAAUAUUAUGCUUUUAAUAUUUAAUGUCUUAAUUUUGAUGUAGGAGUAAGAUGAUCACUUGAAGAAGGCUUGAAUCUUGAGCAAGAAAAUAAAGUGAGGAAAGUUGGCUCAAAUUUAGCUUGAGCGGACUGGAAACAGAGCUGAAAAAUAAGCAAAGGAAAGAGUUCGCUCAAAAGUUGGCUCAAGCCACCACUUUACAGUAGAUUUUCAGCAUAGUUCGCUUGAGCCAACUUGAGUUAGCUUGAGCGGACUGAAGGCGGCCUUAACUACUUUAGCAUGAAGAAAGGUUCGCUCGAGCCAACUUAGCUUGGCUUGAGCCAACUAAGGUCGGCCAGAAACUCUAUAAAAGGCCAGACCACGAAAUUUUCAGUAUCUCUUCCAUCUCUCUUCCAUUUUUUCCUCCCUAAACAUUCAUAGGAGGCUGGGCUUCAUGGGGGAAGGGUCCCUGGGUCUAGGAUUGAAAGAUUGAAGCUCCGGAGCGUGGCGGCGACCGCCGAAGGACCGUGACAACCUCUCGAGGGCGAUGGAAAGCUUGGGAAAGCUUCUAUCGCCGUGGAUCCUUCGCCGUUCUUCUGGGUUUCAUCUUUUCUUCCUUAUCCCUUGGACUUGUUGUUUCUAUUUUUGUAUUUAGGAUGUUAUAACUUGAUGCUUUGAUUGUUGUAAACUCUUUUCAUAAAUGUAAAUGAUAAUCUUUCAUGUAUGGUGUUUCUUUCUAUGCUUCAUGCCUCUAACCAAUCAAUUGAUAAUCAAAAGAGUUCACUAAUUUAUAAAUAGAUCGAAAGGUUGAUAUGAAUUAGUGUAUGCUUAGUUCAAUGAAGGUAGAACACCUAUGUCUUAGGUCACAAUUUGUGUGUUAAAGUUUUGCUUUAUGUGCUUCAAGUAUCAGUGAUUUGCGUUAGAUUUCCGAGGACUAGCAUGAGAUCGGGAGAUAAAUGCAGGUCCGGUUCAAGAGAGAAACCACUCACUAAACCAAUUGUCUUAAGGUGAGAAUAUCUUAGGUAAGAGCAAUAGUGGAUUUCCACGUGACAGGUGGGAUUCUGAGUUCUAACAGGAGUUUCCGGGUGAGAACGGAGAUUCGCAAGCCUAAGAUACCUUGUAUUAGGAUAGAUUGGUCAUUGGGAAUGUCUUUGAGAGAGAACUUGAGUUAUAUUAUUCCUUUUGGGUUUUCUAGAUGGUAAGGGAUUACGUCUAGAAUUCCACUGAUAGAUUCACCUAGGCUAGGGAUAGUUAGGUGGAUAGCUCUCGGCAUCAUAAGUGAAAUGAACCAUUACAUAAGUGUUUGAGUUGAAAACAAUCAAAGGACUAGGUGACGACAUAUCUAAAUACAUUUUCUUCUUUGUUACCUCAGUAAACCUUCUUUUACUGUUUUCUCCUAUAUUCAAAAUCACAAAAACAAUUUAUCAAACAUCUUUGUAUCCGCUCAGAUCAAUGUUUAACUGGUAGAACUAAUGUUCACACAAUCCCUGAGGAUUAUAAACCCGUAUCUGCUUUGCUAUUAUUGAAUCAUAAGGGUUUAGUUCCAAAGCAGUACUAACAAGGAAAAAACCUUUAUCAAAUUUGGCGCUGUUGCCGGGGAUUGUGUUUUGAAAUGUUGGUGAACUAGUAGAAUGUUGAUUCGAGUUGUAAAUAGUGUACAUAGUUGUUCUUGUGUAUCAAUAUCCCUGGUUUAUUAUUGUUCUUAAUGCUUGUUGUAGCCUGAUCAACUAUAACAUGAUUUGUGGUUUGGAAUUCUGUGAACCUGUCUUGGAAUGAAUCAGCUAGUGAAUUUAAUGUAAUUUAGGUUCAUUGGUCAUGAAUUGAUGCAUAGCAUAAUGUAUAUAGGUGCUGUCUUGAGCAUAGUUGUUAGCGUGUUCUUUCUCUUGCUCUCUUGCUUAUGGUUUUAAAUUCCCUAAGGAUUCCUCACUUUUGGUUCUUGAAUGAUCUUUUGCAAGUUUUCAUGGUCAAAAUCAUCUUUUGAAUUUGUGAAUCAAGAUAGAACCAUGAAGUUUUGGAAACCAUGAGUUUUGGCGUGGUUAUUAUCUAUGCCUUUUGUGGGGUUUCUGGUUUAAUUCGUGACAAUAGUGGAUUUUGUGAAGUUAUGCCAAAACCUGAGUUUUAAUGAGCUUACAAAUUUAUUAGCAUAUUAAGACUGUCAAUGAGUUUGGAGCCACACAUGUGAAAAAUCAAUUUUUGGGGGUGCCUUGUUGAAUUUCAUUGGGAUGGACGGGAAUGGAAAUCCUUUUAAUCUCCCAAUGAAUUGGAAUUGCCCGGUCCAAAAGUUUUUUAUUUUGGGGGAGGCAACCGGGGAAAAUUGCAAAUUGGUCGGGGGGAAAAAAAAAAAUUUUAAAAANNNNNNNNNNNNNNNNNNNNNNNNNNNNNNNNNNNNNNNNNNNNNNNNNNNNNNNNNNNNNNNNNNNNNNNNNNNNNNNNNNNNNNNNNNNNNNNNNNNNGUUUUCAAAGCUAAUAAUUAGGAUUUUGUUGGAACGGCUAAAAUGUAAGUGGAAAGUCUGGCAUUUGUCUAUCAUUAAAUUCCAUCAACACACUCAUUCUACAGAGAAUUAAGCACCAAUUAAGAACCCAUGGGAUGGGGUGAUAUCUACAUGUAGUAACUAUUACAGGCAUGACUGCUCAUACAGUUGAAUGCCUUGGUAACAUGAUCCAUGUGGGUAGGGUAAAAAACAUCUUGAUAAACAUGAACUUACAACACUCAGACAGACGGCUAUAUUCACAAAUAACCUAGAUUAAUUGCGAUCCUUUCAAUUAGUUGGAGGCAAUUUUUCUUUUAAAAUAUAACGUUUGAUUUAUUUCAAUUUGAACAUAUACUUUGGUAUGAUACAUAUCUCAUAUCUACAUCUCUGACAUUUCUUCCUUAAAUAUUUUAAAAUUAUUUUUAAUCAAGUUUCAUAUAUUAUCCUUAUAAUUUAAAAAAAUUCCAACAUUUUCGCAUAUCUCAUUUAUAUUAUUUAUUCCAUCCUACCACUACAAUAAAAAAAUGAGUGUCAUAUAUUAAGAUUAACUAUGACAUCAAUUAUUAUAAUUAUUAAUAUAGAAUGGAACUUGAAAAGUUUGUAUUCUAUAUACUAUAAAUUUAUUGAAUGCACUUCAAUUUUAUAACUUGUGCCCCUUUACAAUCCACUUGCAAGCUUCACCUAAAUUCCAUGUAAAUGACAUUGUUUCAGGUUCUAUUACUCAUAUAAAUUUUUCAAUUUAUGAUUAGAUUUAAAAUAUUAUUUAUAUUUAUAUGUGUUGGUCUGUUAUUUAUUUUUUUGCAAUAGUAACAUAGAACAAUUUAUUUAUUUAUUUUAUCUAUUUGAAACAAAAUAUGUGUUUUAACAUAUUUUCCUUAAAAUUGGAACAACAUAGAGUUCACUCUAUUUAACUCAUGAGCUGUUAAUCAAUCUAAUUUAGUGGUGCAAUGCACAGGGUCGUUGGGCUCUCGACAAAAUAGAUCGGGAAAGCAAAUAAACAUUGUCCACUAACAAUCACCGAAUGUAGAUAAAAAGUAUUAACCACUAAAUUAUUGCCUUAGAUCAAAUAAAAAUAUUAAACAAUUUAAAAAUCUUUGUUCGAAGAGAAAAAUGUAUAGCACCAGAUAGAACCCCCAAAACAUAUAUAAUCUAGUCCCUUAAUGUAUCAACCCAUGUCAUAAUAAAUUUUAAACUUCUUUAAGACAAAAUAUCCAAUUCUUUUAUGCAAAGAGGUUCAAAGACAAAACUAAACUUCAAUUUACAAAGAACACCCGAAACAAAUUCACAUAUGCUUCAUUACUUAAGGACAUGGAUAACUCAUUAGUUUCAAUCAACUUCUCUAUAUAUUCUUCAACCCAUUGUGUUUCAAGUUCAGUGUUAAAUUUCUAUUAUGUUAAUAAAUACAUAUUAAUAUGUACAACUUUUACUAUUAUAAUUACUAAUAAUAUAAAUAAAAAGAAACAAUAUACCAAUGAACUUGAAUAUUCUUCUAUCAGGUUUAAAUAAAAUUUAUAGAGACGAAUUCGUAAUCAGGUCAAGNNNNNNNNNNNNNNNNNNNNNNNNNNNNNNNNNNNNNNNNNNNNNNNNNNNNNNNNNNNNNNNNNNNNNNNNNNNNNNNNNNNNNNNNNNNNNNNNNNNNAGCUUCAUCGCAUAUAUGUGAAAGCUCAUGCUCUUCUAUUACGUCAACGUUCGGGUGAAACCCUGUUUCUGUCUCGAGUAGAGAAGGAGGAUUUUGGUUCACAAAACUUUGAUGUCAUUGUUCUUGCCGCCAGCACGAGACCAAAUCCUCACUGCCCUUUUAGUGAGAUCUCUUGAUGGGGUAUUUGUCAUGAUGUUUGGCGAUAAUGAAAGAAGGUUUGAGGUGGAUGGAGAUUCCGGUUGGGGUCUUAGAGGAAGUUGUUGGAAAAUGUCAAUGCUUUAAGCCGACGCUAUGUGGCUUCUGUGUUUGUCACCUCAAUCUAUUCCUCAUCUUCAUUCUCCUUCUUCUUCUUAGUCUUUCGUUUCACCUCUGGGGUUGGGAUUUGAGGCAUGCAAGAAGAUCUCCUCCGCCAUGGCGAGAUCUCUCAUCUGAUCUGCAACAAGGAAGAGGAGAAUAAGCUUCCACAGAUCCGCGAUAGAAAGAAAGGGCUAGAAUGACAUUCAUGGUGAAGACUGAGGGCUGCAUUGGUGGCGAAGAAGGUGAAGACAACGAAAGAGAAUGAAUCUGUGUGAGGAGGUUGUUGCGACAAAGGGGAGAAAAUACCUACUGGUGGUAGUGGGCUUGUGGCGGCUGAGAGUGAUAGAGAGAUUGAGAAAGUGUGGCGAUUAUGUUUGGAGAUGUUGAGAGUGGUUGAGAGAUUGAGGGUGUGUGACUGCUAGGAUUGGGGUUGGGUAUUUGAGGCGCAUGUGGGCUGGGCCUAGAGGAGUAUUAUUUUUUUAAAGACCUAGCUCAGUCGGGCUGGAGGCCAAUCCGAAACAGACCGAUUUAACCACAAGAGACAGGUUUUUGAACCGCACGUCGUUGAAUCAAGUCGACCCACCCAGUUGCACAAAAAAACUCGGCUUUUGCAAGUUCGGGCUAGGCCUGAUGUAUUUGGGCAUCCCAAACAAUUGGUAUAUAAAAACCUCUUAGUAUAUUUUGAUGAUAAUAAGGAUAGAGUUACUGUUCUUCCCAGCUUCUCAGCCACUAGUAUGAGUACAUCUCAGCCGACCAAAAGGCAUGCCUCGAAGCAUCCGUUAUAAGUCCGGGUUAAAUGACUCAAAAGAAGCAUCCUACCAUCAGAGACGUGCAUUUUCGGGGACUAGUCUGCUUCCCAUUACUCAAGCAAGAGGGAAAUUCCUAGCACAAGGAAAGCUCUGGAAAGAUAGGACUUUCCGACACAGUUUUUAGAAUUGUUAGUACAGGCCAGCGCCAUAUUCAAUGAUGGACAUCUUAGGUCAAUCGGCUUAAUUCCGAACAGCUGACACCCCCUGUUGCUCCAUUCUGGAUCCCUGAGUGAUAGAAAGGAUAUAAGCGGGACCACCAAACCUCACCUUGAUGAGUCUAUCGCUUGAUUGAAAGGAUCAGACACUGUCCCCCACUUUUCACAGUAGAACGAAAGAAUUAUAUUCUGAAACCAACAAAUCAAUGAAGGGCUCGAAGGACCACCCCCCUCACACUCACUCUGACCCUAUAAAUACAGGUUAUAUCAUUCAUUUACAUAGCAUGAUAUUCAUUAUUAAUAUUUACACUUAAGUUCUAACUGAGUCUCUGAGAUUGUCUCUCAACUCAAACACUGACUUGAUCUUUCACUAGCAAAUCUUCUCCACUCAUUUGAUUGGGAACUCCCACCUGGAAUUGACAAGGAANNNNNNNNNNNNNNNNNNNNNNNNNNNNNNNNNNNNNNNNNNNNNNNNNNNNNNNNNNNNNNNNNNNNNNNNNNNNNNNNNNNNNNNNNNNNNNNNNNNNGUCUCUUUUACUGCUUUCUUCUAUAUUCAAAAUCACAAAAACAAUUUAUCAAACAUCUUUGUAUCCGCUCAGAUCAAUGUUUAACUGGUAGAACUAAUGUUCACACAAUUCCUGAGGACGAUAAACCCGUAUCUGCUUUGCUAUUAUUGAAUCAUAGGGGUUUAGUUCCAAUGCAGUACUAACAAGGAAAAAACCUUUAUCAAAUUUGGGGAAAUGUCAUAUGGCACGAAACGAAAUUCGUUUGUGUCCUUUAUGUGAUAUAUAAAUAAAUCUGAUUUUUUUUUGAAAUGUAUAAAUAAAUCUGAUUGGAUGUAGCUUAAUUCGUUGAAUUCGUUGCCUAAUCUUUUCGGGCCAUAUAUCUCACUACUCUAUUAUUUGGCUUACCUAAAUAAAUAAAUAAAUCAAGCAAGGCUUUGACAUGGUGCAGAUUUGGCGAUAGUGUGGCGCUAACAUUGUGAUAUUGUAAUCGUUUUCAACCUUCGAAUUUGGGGACCAACGAAAUUUUUUAAGGAGACUCUUUCUCACUUUACCAUCCUUUCGAGCAUGUGUACAACCUCGUUUUUUCAAAAAAUAAAUGACCGCAAAUGAAGUUUUUGAACAGCUUGCCAAAUUUACUCAUGCAAGGAAAACACAAUGGCCAAUUUCUGGCUAAACUUAACCAAGAGCGCAAGAAGCUGGGGAAUCUUGCUAUAAUGCCAAAUGGAUCAAAAAUCUAAAGAAAAACAUGGGAAAGCACUCUCGUAGGUAUUUGCUUCAAGAUUUUAGAUGAUGAACACAUACACAUAAUACCCGCUAGGAGCAUAUAAUUAUUCAAAAAAAAACAAUAAGAUGGGUAGUGGAUACUACCAAUCCAUAUGCACCUUAUUAGUCAAACCAUGCGUAUGCGUGCUUGGAGGUGGUGUUCUACCUCAAUAAAAUGUUCAUGAUGGGAUUCUAUAUUAUUCGUUCUUGGCACAAGGCAAAAUAAAUUUCUGGGCAUACUAAUCAGGUUCUCUUGGUGCCCACAUUUUUCUUNNNNNNNNNNNNNNNNNNNNNNNNNNNNNNNNNNNNNNNNNNNNNNNNNNNNNNNNNNNNNNNNNNNNNNNNNNNNNNNNNNNNNNNNNNNNNNNNNNNNUCGAUAAAUGUUUUCUUGUUUAGUGCAGAAUGACUUCCCCAAGACUGUAGCACUCUUUUUCCUUGCUUGUCCCUCUGGGUUUUUCCAAGUAAGGUUUUAAUGAGGCUCUCUCUUGGGGCUUCGUUCUGUCAUUCUGGGGGUUGGUGGUGGGUUUUAAGCACAGCUCAGGUUGUUUUUGUCUGCUUAAACUUGUCAGGUUCAGUUUGUAUUUGGCUCUUGCCUAUAGCUGCUUUGGUUUAGGCUCUUAUUAAUAAUAUACUUUUAAUUUUCAAAAAAAAAAAUUCAUUAUGAAAAUGAUAACUUGUGUGGUUUUUUGAGCGUUUUGACUAUAAUAUUUAUAUAUUUAUUUUUCGGAGAAUUUUACUGAGAAAAAAAUCCCAUAAAGUAUCAAUGAUGUGGUAAGAUACUAUACAUGGCAAGAUUUUGUGGACCACACCUAGGGUGUGGGUGCACAACAUAUUCCUUGGGGAGGAAGGAAGAAUUACUUGAUUAAUUGGGAUAUUGUUUGAAAAUAAAAUGAUUUAAUUCAUUUUAAUCAAAUAAGAUGAUAGUCAAAAUAGGAUAGCUCAAGUGGUCGGAGUUGAGAGAUAUAUGAGUUGGGUAGGAGGAGGUUUAGGGUUCGAUUCCUGGCAGGUGCAAUUUUUUUUUCCGAUGUACAAAAAAAAUUCAAAUAAGGUGAUAAGGAGAAAUUUAAAAUUUAAGAUAGAGGUUUAGUUAGUGGAAAUUUUUACCUAAAGAUAUUUAAGAUCAAAUUAAGUAUCUAUUUUAUUUCAAGAGAUAAUUCCUAAUAUUUGAAUUUAUUUUACAAUAUUAAGGUUCUAGCUCAGUCCAUAAUCUUUUAACUUAAAGAUUACGAAAAUAACUAUUAGAGAUUAAGCAGAAGAUUUUCCGCUUGAUAAGAGGAGUGGCACACAUAACAUAGAGGGGGUUGGAAAAUUCUCUAGUGAUCAAAAAAUUAUUUGGAAAAUUUCUCACUCUCUCACACAUAUACUCAACGUCUCUCUCUCUUGCUCUUAAGAAGAAAAUUCCUUUAUUCUUAUUUUGCUUCAAACAACAAGGUAGGCUAGGGUUCUUAUCCCUUUGAGUUUCUUCUAUGCUCAUCUCCAUGUCUUUUCUACUUUUUCUUUUCUUUUUGGAAAGCUUGUUUAGAAAAUGUUUUCUUUUGGUGAAAAGAGUUUCUUUUGAUAAGGUUGCUCGUCUUUGGUUUUUUUUUAAGGUGUUGUUUGUUGUUUGGCUGGAAGCAUGUUGUGGUACUUUGUAGGUCUUUUUGGUUGGAGUCUUAUUUGGUGUUGCAUGGAUUUUUCGGGGCUUUUCCAUUCCUUAGGUUUUAUAUCUUUUGUGGUUGGGUUUUUAUUCAAUAUGUGUUGUAGAUUGUGACUGAUGGAGCUUUGCACUUUAAAAUCUUUUUCAAGAUUGUAUUUUUAUCUAUUAAUAUCAUUUUACUUUCUAAAAAAAAGUUGGGAAGUUUUGGGAGUUUUUACAUCUUGUUGAAGUUGUUUCAAUAUAUAGAGGCUGCAGCCUAUACACUCUUUUUUCGGGGUUGGUGUUGUGUUGAAUACUUGUAUAUGAUUAACAAAUCCUAGUUUUUGAAUAGGGGUUGAAAUUGGAAGUUUUGAAAGUAUAAGAACCUUUUUUAUAAAUAGCCUAAAUAGAUAAAAGGUCGAGGGUUAAUUUAAGUUUUUAGGGGACAAAGUCUAAAUAAUCAAAUAUUAGGGUUUUGUUUGCAAAUUUAUUUGUCUAGUGUGUUUUGACCCUUUCUCGAGGCCUUCCAUAUGGUUCUAGUCUUGUUCUUGGCUUAGUUGAUAACUUAAUUACUCACAUGUUGUGAAGGUUCAAUUAGUGGGGUUCUUGAGGUUCUAGGACAUGCUUUUGGGAAAGAAAGCGACAAAGGUGAGGGCACUUCCGUCUUAGAGUGUCUAUGUGAUUGUUGUGUGCAAUGUGUUUGAUUCGUGAUUAUGUUAUGUUAUAUGUUUGUCUAAUUGCAUGAUGAUAACAUGAUAUUGUUGUAUGUUGAGAUGAUUGUGAUCUAUGAUGUCGAUUUUAAUCUAUGCUAAAACAUGUGAUGUUAUGCUAUGAUAUUUUGAUGAUAUGCAUAACAUCACAUUCACAUGGGGAAGAGUUGAUAAAAUGAAUCAAAAAAUGAAGGAAGAUGAUUGUUGGUAUGUUUUGAAGCAAAUAAUAAUUACCAUUUAAAUUAGUAAAUUAGUGUUGGUAUUCACCCCUCUUUAAAAAAAGGAAUUGUUAUUCGGACCCCCCGACAGUUAUUUAGACCAUGUUAAAUUCGUAAAAUCCACAAAAGCCCUUUAUAAAGUUUUUUUCGCUCGCACUGUGAAAGUGCGACCAAAACGCAUGUGGAAAGUGCGUCCAGGUGCGUCCAUCACACACUUUCAACGUGCGUAUUGGUCGCACUUUUACAGUGCGACCAACUUCUUUGAAGGUACUAAGAUUUGUGUAAUUUAGACAAAUUCCUUCAUCUGGUAUUUUAUUUUGAAUUUCAAACAUUUUUUAUUACACCAUAAAUCUCCAUAUAUUCUAACUUGAUUUACCGGGAUCUCAUNNNNNNNNNNNNNNNNNNNNNNNNNNNNNNNNNNNNNNNNNNNNNNNNNNNNNNNNNNNNNNNNNNNNNNNNNNNNNNNNNNNNNNNNNNNNNNNNNNNNAGAUAAGCAUUGGAGAAGAUGCAGAUGAGAAAGGGGGCAAAUGGGGAAGAGGUGAAGAUCACAUAAGAUUGGUAAUCUGCAGCAGAGAUAGUCCGUACCUGUUAGCUACCAUGUUUCGUAUCUUCUGUGUAGUUACCGGAAAAACCGACCCAAACCCGACCCGUGACCCGGCUCUUGCGGGUUUUCUCUUAUGAACAGUGGCCAAUUCCCUCUAGCUUUAGUAAGUUAUAGAUUCUCUUGCAAAGAAAAUACAGAAUAUCCAGUUCAAAUGUGUUGUAGCCUAAUUUUGCAAUGCAAGGAAACUUUCUUGUAGUGAAAAAACACCAUUUUUACAGUGAAGAAAUAUAUAGAUGGUUUUUAAACUAAACCAACUAUACCCUUAACUUGAUAGACAAAGUAAAGAGAUUCAUACAAAUAUAUUGAGAUUAAGUUACUCACAGCAUUAAACUUUGUCAUCCAUUUUUCAUAGCUAGCCUUGCCAACCUAAUUGAUUUAACAGUUCUCUUUGAAAUCCAAGGCAAUAAAGCUCUUCAAUUGACAUAAUCCUGAAGGGAACCCACAACCUAUUAAUAUGAUAGCAGAUAGUAAACUCGUAAGUUAGUUCGCUAGCUAAUAUAUACCUUAUUGAGGAGUCAUGCAAGGGUGUGGGAUAUGAACCCUCCAUACUAUCAAUAUCUUUUCUGGCACAACAGCGUAAAUCAUAUCGCCAGAUGCAAGGUGACCCAUAAUUUCAGCAACCUAUUUCCCAAAACAGCACAUUCUAGAGUCCAGACGAACACUUAAGAAGGAAAUUCAGAGGUCAAAUUGAUAAAAUGACAAAAACAAAAAGAAAUCAUCAGAAUUAAUACUGGCAUACCCUUCUUGACAACCUUCAAUAGUAUUCUUCUGCAUAACAACAUCUUUCUCAAACUCCUGUUUGCCACCUGCUCCAGUCAAAAUACCAAUUACAUAUGCAUCGCUAAUAAAACACCAUUAGACAACUGUAUAUCAGGGACCAUACAAACUUGGUAUAAACCUCAAUUAAUAAUCAACUAUAACAAUAAAAAACGAAGCAAAAAUUAAGAAAUAAACGACCUAAAUCAUAAUAAAAAAUUUAAAAAGGUACUAUUAAAGAUAGAUAAAAACUAUCAAAAUCUAGCAAAGCACAAUAAAAACUCAUAAAAUCCUAAAUUAAAUAAAAAUCCGAAAAUUCAAUAAAAAUACGAUAAAAAUUAAUUAACACUCUUCAGGGAAUAUGUAACUAUAUGGUUUAAAACUUAUGAAAGGUGCUGGUAUACUGGCGGUAUGUUUUUCACGGGAAUUGAAAACCUUUUACCAUGUACAUUAUGAGAGGGAAGGUAACGUUUGGCACAAAGAAAACUUAUAUAAGAACAAAGAGGGAAAUAUUGAAUGGUAACAUAUUAACCAUGUAAUCAAUAUUUUAAUUGAAAACAUAAACGGGAUGCCAAUCAUAAAUAGAUAAAUAUUUUUAAUUUAAAUUCACUUUAAAUCUUUUGAAAUAUUAAUAAAAUAUACAACAAAAAGUUCAUAUGCAAACAAAUAAAUGUUCUCAAGAUUUAGCUUAAGCAAAUAAGGGACCAUAAAAUUCUAAAGAAAAUUCACCAUUCCAGAAAAAAAAAAUGCAACCUAGCAAUAGGAUUUGGCAAUUCCAAAUUAACACUAACCUAUAGGUAUUCAGUUGUAGAAGAAUCCCACCAAAACUAUGAAAAAAUCUAAAUUGCAAGGUGAAAUGAAUCACACUACUUUUCCACAUACCUGGAUUAAUUAAAAAAUAUAUAUUUUCUAUUGUUUUAUAUGCACAAUAUUUUUUUAUUGAUCUCAAGUUAAUUAUAUUCUCAUAAAAAAAUACCUUUUUAAAUUUUAGAUUUGAUUAGGAUUUAGAUUGUUUAUUUCUUGAUUUUAUCUUAAUUUAUUUUUAAUUUAUUUCUAGAGUAUUAAUUAAAUUUUAUGGUAUUUUUAGUGAAUUUUUCUGAUUUUUAUUUUAUAUGCACAAUAUUUUUUUUAUUGAUCUCACCUUGCGUAUGUUAGUCACUAAGACUAUGUUUGUAUAAAUGUUCACAUACAUUCAAAUGCACCUAUAUCUCAAUCUUUGUUAGUAGUACAUGCCUCAAAUUAAAGUACGUACUUAUGGCCAUUAACCUUAAGAUUUGGAUAACACACUGCAGAAAGAUCUGGUUAACCUAAUUCAUAAGCUUACAACAUCAAAGAAACUUUUAAUCCCCCCUUAAAAAGUGAGAACAGAUGGAAAACAAUUCACCUUUCAUGACCAGUGAGAACAGAUAAAUGUUGAAAUAACAUACAUAACAAUGAAAAAUAAAUAAAUGGGAUGUUCAUCUAUCAAAUGUUAAUUUUUUUUAUUCAACCCAAACCCCAUUUAUUACCUUGGAACCUUUUCCAAAAACAAUUUUAUUUUGUGGGAAAACCUUUAGAAAGGGGGUUUAAAAAAACAUUGUGAAAUUUGGGGGGGAAAACCAAAAAAAGAACACACACUUUUUUUUUGGGAAACCUCUUCCCCUUGGGGAAAAAGAAAAUUCCAUUUUAAAAAAAUUUUGGGAAAGGGAAAAGAGAAAAGGGGGACCCUUCCCCCAAAGAAGGAAAUAUUUGGAAGGGGGAAAAAAAAUGGGAAAUAUUGGCCCCUUUUUGUGAACUCUUUUUUGGAGGGUGGAAUAAAAAACAAAAUUCCUUUAAAGAUCCUUACCAAAAAGGGCCCCCAAAAAGUCAAUUUGGUUUUUUUUACCUUACCCUUAAGAACCAAAAGAGAAGCCCAUAUUUUUUCCUCAAUCCAAUCUUAUAAACCUUCUUUUUUCUUUGCUUAAAAGACCCUUCCAUUAAGUUUUAAAAUUAAUGGGUUCAAAAUCCAUUAACCAAAAUUUCGGCGAAUACCUUCUUUUUUUNNNNNNNNNNNNNNNNNNNNNNNNNNNNNNNNNNNNNNNNNNNNNNNNNNNNNNNNNNNNNNNNNNNNNNNNNNNNNNNNNNNNNNNNNNNNNNNNNNNNAACCCAUCCUCCAUAUGUUUUGCAUAAUUUGAGAUUUGGUUAACCAAUUUUUUUUAACCAUAAAAAAAAUUCUCAAUUGUGAUGGGGAUAAAUUUAUAAUGAAAAAUUUAAUUGAAGUGAAGGUCCAUGUUGUUUUUGAAGCAUAUAUGAUUUGAGGUUUGCCAUGGUUGAGAUGAAGAAGGGAGAAAUAGAGAAAAUUGUGUGAGUAUUUGGAGAUAGAGAACGUAUGAAGGUUUUUUUUUUGCUCUUCUAACCCUUUUUAUUUUCUAAUAUAGAUUGAUAUUGAUACUCUAUAUAAAAAACAAUAUUUUUUAGGAAGAUUUUUUUAACAGAAACUAUCUAACAAAGAUACAUAAAAACAAACAACCUAAAUCCUAAUCAAAUCUAAAAUUUAAAAAGGUACUAAAUAAAUAUAGAUAAAAACUAUCAAAAUCUAGCAAAUCACAAUAAAAACUCAUAAAAUUCUGAAUUAAUUAAAAAUCCGAAAAUUCAAUAAAAAUACCAUAAAAAUUAAUUAAUGCUCUAAAAAUAAAUUAAGAUUAAAUCAAGAAAUAAACAACCUAAAUCCUAAUCAAAUCUAAAAUUUAAUGUGACAAAUAGGGCCAAGGUGGAAAAGCUGAUGUGUAAAUUAUUAAAUGAGAAUUAAUAGGUGGAAAAGCUGACGUGUAAAUAAUUAAGUGAGAAUUAAUCUCGGAGCGACACGUCACUAACUUGGCCUGUGAGAGCGACACGUCAUGCUAGAAGUUCUUCUUUUCUAAUAUAUAUAGAUUCGUACGUAUGAUUCCAGGAAAAUUAUGUGGAAGUAAUUAGCUUUCUUAGCAUGUGUAUAUUGCAGACAUGUUCUAUGAAGACAAGGAAAAGAAAUUGAUGUUUUGGCAUAUAUGGGUAAUUUAAUUUCUAUCACAAAUAUUUAUGAAGGAUGAUAAUGAGAGACUUCAAAAGGUCCAAUUAUUGCACCAUCUUUAUGCAUGCGGACGAAACACAAAAGUAUGGAUUUCGUAAUCCUUUCGUUCAUAUUUAUCUGUCCAUUUUAAGAAAAAUAAUUUAUUUAUAUUUAACUGUCCAUUUAGCAUUUCAAGAGAGCAUUAAAUGAUGUUUUUCCAAGAAAUGACAUUUCAUGGACAAUAAAUAAUGAAAGAUAAAGUACAAUUUAAAGGGUGAAAAAGGAAAACAAAUAAUAUUUUUCUGAAAAUCAACAAAAUUAAUUGCACUCCUUAAUAUGUGUGUUCUUAUCUCUUUGGACAGUUAAAUAAGAACGGAGGAGUAUCUAAUAAUGUUUAAGCCUUUUAGGACCACCAACAAAUAUGUAUCUACCAAAUAGCUAAGCUCUUCAAUGCAGGUUUCGAUUCUUAAGUGGUGUGUAUGAAAAAUAAAUUGUUAAAACUAUUUAUUUAAUGUGAUUUUUGAGUUUCGAAAAAAUUAGUGCAAUAGCUGUCAGCCAUAAAAUUUAUUGAGAAAAUUAAAGAAAGAUAACGGAACAAGACCCAAAACGAUAAAACAACCCACCAAACCAACAACCAGCCCUCUCAAAAAGCCAACCAAAGAAAGAAGAAGCACCCCGAGCCAACUAAUCACAAUUAAAGAUUAGGAUGAUUAGCACUAAUUUGCUCUAUUAAACCCUUAUAUACAUCGCCAUGAUUACCACCUCAUACGCUUACUAAAAAGCAAUGUUUGCGGGCUCUAAUCAUGACUUUGGACUCCUUUCAAUUGGAUUAAAAUGAAACUCACUUGCAAUCAGACUCUUUGCCUUAUUCUUGCUACCUUUAGGAUGUCCCUUCUUCAAUCUACCCACUGGCGUGCUACCACCUUGCUUCUUAGGAGGCCUCCCCUCUUCGGCUUAGUCAAUUUAGGAGAUGAUUGGACCUCCAUAACCUCACCAUCAUAAAUAUUUGUAAAUUACUAUUAAACAUUUGUAAAUUAGCCAUUUCCCCAAAUGAAGUAUAUGAUUCCACACAUAAUCUUCUUUUGGUGGUGUGAAACUGAAGCUAUUUCUAUCAUUGAUUUUUUCUUUUUUUUUCUUCCUUCUCAAGCUAUUCGGUCAAUGUUAUUUGUUUCUUUAUUAUCCAAAUCAGCGUCUUUUGGGCUUGUGUCCAAAUUACAUAGCUAUAUGGAUAUGGAUAUGGAUAUGGCAAAAGACUAUAAUCAUAAAGGACCAAACUAGGGCCAAGAUGCUUACAUAGCUAGUUGGAUAUGGAUGUGCGGAUGAGAAGAGGAGAAGGUUGAUCCAGAAUAGUAUUUUGUUUUACUUCUCUGUUUGUUGUGUCCUUAGCUGGUUUUAGUUGUAGCUUUUAAGAAGCUUUAUGACUUGGUGAGUUUCCAAAAUAUUCCCACCUUCCUCUGUCUGUUUCACGUGGGAAUCGGUUGGAAACUUUAACUUGGUAUUGGUUUGCUCUAGGCGGUCCCCUAUUGUCUUUUGUUAUUUGUUUUGCCUUGUAGCGUAAAGUCAAUCCGGCCUUGUGCCCCUUUGUAAUUGGACUUAGGUCCUUUUCUUGAAUCUAAGUUCAUUUGACAAAAAAAAAAUGGAUGUGGGGCACAUAAGGGCAGGGGGACUUGGGGGAAAUUUAAUACAAUAAUAUACUACCAUAUCAAUGGUAUAUAGGUUGAAAAUGGCUCUCGGACCCAUCGGCUAAAAAUUCUUAUAAUAAUUCUUAUAAUAGUAGGUAAAAUUUACUGAAACAAUAUGAGGUUGGAUAUGAUUAAAUACUCGUAAAAAAUAGUGGGUACGGAUUAAGUAGAUAGGAGUAAUAUAGUACCCAUCCAGCCUCAUAUUCGUACACACUUUAUUAACUAUUUUGAUUUAUAUAUCUACACACUUAAUAGUAUUUUAACAAACUUAAUUAUAGUUACAAAUUUCUAACUUUUUUUUAAAUAAGUGGUGUCGUAAUAUUAUAUAUACCUUCACAAAACAUAUUAUAUUUAGUGUUGCUAAUUUACUAAGCUUAUUUGUGAAAUAAGUAAAUAAUUAACCUAUACUAUAUUAACAUGUACUAAUCUAAAUUAUAAAUUUAAAGUUAUAAUAUUCUCACUCACUCUUAUUAACAAUAUCUAUACUUAAUUGAAUGAUUUAAUUUUUUAAAUAUUUGGAUAGCCUUUUAUAUUUUUAAUUAAUAUUUGUUUAUGUUGAAAAAUAAAAAUAGUAAAAAUAAUGUUUUAGUUAACUAAAUUGCGAGUAUAGUACGAGUAUGAGCAUAUAGAUACCCAAAGAGUACGGGCCUGGGCGUUUAAGUUGCUACCAACGUGGGUAUGGAGACGAGCACGUGUAGCUUUUGAUAAUGCGGGUGUGAGUAGCGUACUCAGACCUACCCUUGUCAUCCCUGUAGUAUAUUUAGAAAGAGCAGUAUAGUCCUAAUAAAUCUGCUUCUCCCACUACCAAGGUAGAUCUGCCCCUGCUUUUAUAUCGUGGUGGUGAUUGGAAUUUGUGAGGUGUGGGUGGUUUUGGAGGAAGAGAAAGAAGGGUCGGGGAAAACGAAGAGGAAGAAAGGGGAAGACGAAGAGGAAGAAGCGAGAUCGGAUGUGAAUAACUAAAUCAUUUUCGAGGCUUUAAUUUAAAACGGAUGUGAAACGCUGACUAGACUUGUCACUGGAAUUGUCAACUAGUUAAAAUUGAUGAUAAAAAAGAUAAAAGGACCUAAUUUUAUUAAUUUAAAAGUUAUUUUUUAAGAACCCAAUUUAAUUUCUCAUACAAAAUUAGGAAUUUAAAACAUAUUUAAACUUAUUGUUUAACCCUCUGACAUUCACAUAUAAGAAACAUAAUAAAGUUAGGUUAACAAUCUAUUUUCACCUCCACCAUAGAUAAAAAAGAAGAUAAUAAGUGAUAUAAUUUGUGAUGUGAUGAGAAAUGUAAAGAAAAAUAAAAUGAAAAAGAAUAAUUAUAUCUUCACAUUUCAUUUUUGAGGUGUGAAGAUGUGGAGGAAGAGAGAGAUAGGAAAAAAAGAGAGAGAAAGUAAAGAUGUGAUAUAUAAUUUGAUUGAUAGAGAAAAGAAAAGUAAUAAAAAAAUAAAAGUGAAAAAGGAAUGGAGAUGUGUAUAUAUCAUAACUCAUCAGAUAUUGAUAAUGGAGAGUCGAAUUCAUGGACCAUUUUUGUACGUGUCCGAACAGAUCUUGAUGAUAAGUUUUGAAACAAGAGCCGUAAAGUGGUGGCUGUGUCAUGUGAGUGUGCCUCACAUCCAUUACCAGUCACAUGCAGAAAUUUGCGUUUGAAAAUAUUUAUCAAUCUGCAUCUGGUAUCUUUAUCAAUGUGCCUUCUUUAAUUUGUACUCUUCUUUUGCUAUUUAUUUACUAGGAUGUAUCACAACAAUUUAGAUAUAUAAUAAGGGGAGUGAUAAUUAGAAACUAAAUAGAAGUAAGCACAAGGAUCAAGUAAAAUUGAGUAGAAGUUCAAAGAUUAUUUGACCGAAGGAGUAUAUAUCCGAGGGGAGUAAUCAUUUAUAACCAUUUUAUUAGAUUAUCUCGUAUAUUUAUAUAAGUAUGAAUUAUUUGGCUUAAAUUUUAAAUUUAUAAAUUCAAGUUCGCUAUCAUAAAAAUGGAGAGAUCGAUAGGUCUGAGUAGUUGGCAAGGUUAUUUAUCAUACGGUUUUGGAUUAAGAUCAUCAGUUUCAGGGUUGAAAAACAUAAAAUCACCAGGUUUGCUACCGUUCGUGCUCUAACUACGGGCUAGCGGGUUUGGUUUUGUCGGAUGAUGGUUUUGUCGGGUGGGUUCGCACGGUUUGUCAAUCCUGAAAAUUAUUAAAAAAAAAAAGAAAAAGAAGAUGAAAGAAACAAAAUCAUAUUCCAUACAGCACAACGCAGAAAAAUCUUAACAAAAUGAAAAAGAAAUGCUAAAAAACCCAACUAGAAGAGGGGUAUAUAUCAAAUUCCAUAGGAGAUGAAGCUUCAUCGCAUAUAUGGUGGGAACCUCAUGCCUCCUCUUAUACACUCAACGGUUCCGGGGAGACCCCUGCUCUUUCUAUCGAAGGAAGAGAGGGAGGAUUUUGUGUUCCCAAACCUUUGAGGCAUUGUUCUUGCCGCAGCACCGAGAACAAANNNNNNNNNNNNNNNNNNNNNNNNNNNNNNNNNNNNNNNNNNNNNNNNNNNNNNNNNNNNNNNNNNNNNNNNNNNNNNNNNNNNNNNNNNNNNNNNNNNNUCUCUGGGUGGGGAAAUAUUUUUCAAAACACCCCCUUUUUUAAUUGGUUGGCCCCCCUUUUCCCCAAUUUGUGUUUUUCCCCUGUGGGGCAAAAAAUGUAAAUGGGUGAAAUGGGUGGGGAACCACCCUCCAAAAGUUCUCCCUUGACAAUUGCUUAUAAGAUAAGGAAAGCCUUUCAAUAUCAUCUUCACUUAUAAAUCUUUGUCACCAAACAAGUCUCUGAUUUCCCUCUGAACCUUACUCAUCACUCUAGCAUUCUUCAAUAGUGCUGUCAUGGCCCAAACUACUAUGGCUGAGCUAGUGUCUGUUCCUGCUAUAAAGAUGUUCUGCACAUAUAUGCAUGACAUAGUUAAAUACACAAAUAAAAUUAAGGGCAAUUAAGGAGGUUCCUCAUUCUUUAUCCCGCUAAUAAAAUUUUAACAUAUCAAUUAAAGAUUAAACCACCAUGUGAGUUUGUAACGAUCCAACUCGGGACUGUCUAGCGUCCACUAUCUAUUCGGGUAAUGCAUGCAAACACUGCUACCAAAUUGUUGCGAAUUAGCUACAAGAAUAUCAAAUUCGCAAUUAAUUUUUGAACAAUUAUUUUACAACUAUUCUUUCAAGUUACAAUGGUUACAAAUUCCAUGUAUAAGCACUAUCUCGAUAACAUCAUCUGAAUAAGUGAUAGACAUUAGACAAAGCGGUCCAACUAAUCUCACUUUUUAAUUAAUAUGGAAAGAUUUCACUCUGAUAGGAAAUUAAUUGAGACACCGUAAUGAACAUGGCAAGAUUUUGAUUCAUAAUUUUAUAAUUAAUCACUAAUCAUGUUCUUUAAAUUAUGGAUUGCAUAAUGCAUAUAUUCAACAAACAUGCAUUUGAAGUUAGAAAUGGAUAGAAGAGAAAAAAGUAAUAGAUGUGAUAUAUGAUGAAAGAAAAAUAUUGGGGAAAAAUUAGAUAUUUGUUAAAAGUAUGUAUGCCUGGUAUCAUUACAGUUAAAUUAAGGACUAUUAAGAAGGUGCGUUACUUACCAUAAGAAUAGCUUUUAUAUGGUCGGGAGUAAGAUCAAAAGAGAAUGAGUGGUGAUUCAUCAUCUGCACAAGAAUAUCAAUGAUAUAUGGAACUUCUUGGUCAUUGGUUUGAGGCCUUGUUGGAUUCAUGUGGUCAUGGAUGACUCGUUCAUAGAUCAAAUCUAACUCCUUGAAGGUUUUGUCUAGCCUCCUCAGAGUUCCUCUAAGUCUAUCAACCCACCCCAUCAAUGGAAAGUGAUCAGAAAAGUAAAAUUCUGUCAACAAAGCUUGAGCCUCAUUGAGAAGUACCUGCAAUCUACUCUUCUUUUGGUCAUUUCCUAUUUCCAAUUCUUCCUCAUAAUCAUAGCCGUACUUUCUCCCAAAAGCUAUCCUGCAUAUUAGGGAAUUUGUGAAAGACAUCAAUGUUUCAGUCAAGUUCACUGCUUUUUCUGAAGAAUCAUAUUUUGCUAUUUUCUGAAUCAUUUGGGAAACUUCAUUUUCUCUGAUGUUACUAAAGGAUUGGAGGCGUUGAGAGCUGAAAAGGUGGAGGGCACAGAGUUUUUUCAUUUCUCUCCAAUAAGGGCCAUAAGGUGCAAAACCCAAGUCCAAGCCAUUGUAAGACAAUUUCCUCAUGCCAAGGAAAGGUGGUCUGCUUGCAAAUUUGAGGUCAUGGGUUUUCAAAACUUCUUUGGCCAUUUUUGCUGAGGAAACCACCAAACAUGGCACAGAGCCAAGGUGCAAUAUCAUGAGAGGUCCGUAACGUUUGGAGAGUUUCCAUAAACAGCGAUGCAGUGAUGAGCUAUCAAGUUGGUGUAUAUUGCCGAUUAGAGGAAGGGUUGGAGGGCCAGGUGGAAGAGUUGCUCUUGUACCAUAUGUUCUGUAUUUGUGGAUGAUGAAUAGAAUGGCGAUAGAUAAUAAAGAAAGAAGAAAAAGCCCCCCCAUGAUACAAGCUUGCAAAUUGCUCAUCUUUCUUCCAAUUUUAUAGAAGGGGAGAAAAGUGAUAGUUACACAUCACAUUAGGUGUACACGUACACUUGAAAAGGAAGGAAAGUAUACAUGCUCUUCCUAUAGAUUUGGAUCCAUUCAAUUGUAAAAAAAAAUUGAUCAUGUGGAAGUUUCACCACCUCACCAAUUAUUAUUAUGUGUUUAAUAAUUGAAUAAAUAAAUGAGAAUUAAAUCAAUGAUGUAAUGAUGAAAUUUGACAUGAUCAAUUUUUUUUUAUAAUUAGAGGAUUCUGAUUUCGAUCGAUAUAUAUUAUGAUUUUAAAAAUAUGAGGGGUAGAAACAUCGACAAAAAUAAAGUAGUAGUAGAAUUUGCACAAACUUAAAACAUCAGGGACAAAAAAUACUUUUUAGCCUAAUAUAUAAUAUAUGAUUAUUUUUCUUACUACUCCCCCUUUUAGUUUCUACUUAUAACUCCCCAUUUCUUGUCAACACCAAAAAGUUGUGUAAAAUCUGGGGAUGAGCAGAUGCAAACAAAUCACUGAAAUUAACAUAUGAAAAAGUAACUAUAUAUUCGGAAAUAUUUAUAUUACAUUAUUAUGUUUAUAAUAUUUUAGAGAUGAUUAUGUUAUAUAGAGACAUGAAUAUUUUAAAUUUGGAGUUGUCUAAAUGAUCUAUGUAGGAUACUAACCCACAACUCAAAGCACCAAUAAAUUUUUUUAUAAAUAAAUUAAUAAUUAAAAUAUAAAAAUUCUAACGUACUACAUAUUUUCAAUGUGAUUGAAUGAUAAAUCAUUUAACUUAAUUUUUUUAUGAAUCAUUUAGAAAACCUACCGCUGAGUUGAUUUUCUUAUACCACAACCAUAAACAAAAUAACAAUAAAUGAAAGAAGAAUACAAAGAAGCAGAUUGGUAAAGAUACGAAGCGCAUAUUGAUAAGAUACCAGACACAAAUGACUACAUGUGAGGCACACAAUCAUCACGUUUCGUUAUGGCUCUCUUCCAAAGCGAUGUAAUUCAAACUUAUCAUCAUGAUCUAUUCGGACACGUACAGAAAUGGUCCAUGUUGAACUCUCCAAUGUCCAUAUCUGAUAAAAAUACUAUUAUAUUUAUUUUAGGCUUAAAUACUCUGAAAGUCUCUGAAAUUAUCUCUCGUAUGAAAAUAAGAGUGGAAUAUAAGGUACAAUACAUGAUGGGUCUUGCACCGGUGCCAUAUAGGUGAGGGCCAAUGAAAUUAAAGCAUCUGUCAAGUGGGGAAACUGGAAACCGUCUGUUUAUGUUAAUUGAAAAUUUAUUGUAUUCGAAAUAAAAUAUGUAAAUGACACUUGCACCCCUGUUUUUCUCCCUCAAUGCUUGAAGAAAGAUUCAACCUUCUUCACUGGCAAAUCUCGCUGCCGCGGCCAUCUCAUUCUCUGGUAAUAUUUUAGCAUCUGGAUUUUGCACUUGAUAAAUUAACUUGAUUGUGAAAAAAACUUGCAGCAGAUCCGAAUUCAACCCAGACGAAAUAAACUGACCAAAGAAUCUAUUAAUGACCCAGAAAAUAUUCAACCCAGACGCACCGAAUGCUCUGAACUCUAAAGUUCAACUUGUCACUCCUCCCUUCACAUUUCUUAGAUUCACCAAGUAAAACAAAAAGGGAGAAUCUAAAUUGUUUAUGCAGUUAGUUUCUCUCAAACCUUUUCUGCAGGCCCGUUGGAAUUGGACAUGGCAUCUUAGAGGUCAAGUGUUGCUCAAAUUCAAAGAGCAAAGCAACCCCAUCUUUUGUCCAAACAAAGAAACGGUGCUUGAGAAUUGAGAUGCAGUACCCUUUACUCAGAUCAAGAUAAUUCACCGGUUUCUCCCCAAUGCCUGAAUUUGUGGCACCGCUUGUGGCUCGUGGGAUCGAUGAUGGUGGCGGUGGUCAUCGACAUCUCGGUGACUCCGAUGGUGGCGUUGAGUGUCGAUCUCGAAUCUGGAUGGGGAGAGUCAAAGUGAGACAACUAAUUUCAGAUUUUGGAGAGGACAUUCCUAUUAAUCGUCACAUCAUCGCCACAGGAACAGAAGGGGGAUUCAUUUCCCUCGUUUGAACGAUGAUCCACCAUGAACUCCAGAACCCGCAAACCCUAGAAUAAAAGUUCUGGUCAUUUCUUAAAAAAAAAACCUCCAUUGGUGCACGCAAACCCACCUUGAAGAUGCAAAUGCAAAGCAAGGUCGAAUUUCGUGAUGGUGGCGAUUCGCACCCAGAUCCGGGGCUUUCGUGUUGGUUUGAUGCAAAGCGGAGAUGAGAGUUGGAUUGGGUGGCGCAAGGCUGCGGUGGUGGGCUGUUAAGUUUGGUGGAUUUUUUUGGAGUGGGGCUGGUUGGUUCUUGUGUGGUGGUUGGAUUGCUGUUUCUGAAUUCUGGCACGGCGCAGUAAUAGCUCUAUCUGGGUUUUUGGGAUGAGUAUGGUGGGUGAGGGAGGGAGAUGGAGGUGGGGAAGGGGGAGGUGCAGUGUAGGACAAAGGUGGAAGAUGGGAAGGAUAUAAGGAUAAUUUCGUAAUAUGACUUUUUUAUUUUUUUCUCAAGGUAAUUAUAACCUCCUAUAAGAGGUCAAAUUCACUCUUGCAUGGUGCAAGACCUAAGAUGUCCUUGCACCCUAACAGCCACCGAAAAUAAGUCACUGAAAUGUUUUUUUUCGAUUCGGAAUCCGAGGAAUUUUUUUAAUCAGACAACUUCAACAAGAUGUAAAAACUCCCAAAACUUCCCAACUUUUUUUUAGAAAGUAAAAUGAUAUUAAUAGAUAAAAAUACAAUCUUGAAAAAGAUUUUAAAGUGCAAAGCUCCAUCAGUCACAAUCUACAACACAUAUUGAAUAAAAACCCAACCACAAAAGAUAUAAAACCUAAGGAAGGAAAAGCCCCGAAAAAUCCAUNNNNNNNNNNNNNNNNNNNNNNNNNNNNNNNNNNNNNNNNNNNNNNNNNNNNNNNNNNNNNNNNNNNNNNNNNNNNNNNNNNNNNNNNNNNNNNNNNNNNGUAAUGUUGUGUGAAAAUUGUGAAACAGGAUUAACAAUUUUCACCCAGAAAAACCACUAUUGACCAUGUUUACGAAUUUCGUCCACCUUAAAGAUGCAAAUGCAAAGCAAGGUCGAAUUUCGUGAUGGUGGCGAUUCGCACCCAGAUCCGGGGCUUUCGUGUUGGUUUGAUGCAAAGCGGAGAUGAGAGUUGGAUUGGGUGGCGCAAGGCUGCGGUGGUGGGCUGUUAAGUUUGGUGGAUUUUUUUGGAGUGGGGCUGGUUGGUUCUUGUGUGGUGGUUGGAUUGCUGUUUCUGAAUUCUGGCACGGCGCAGUAAUAGCUCUAUCUGGGUUUUUGGGAUGAGUAUGGUGGGUGAGGGAGGGAGAUGGAGGUGGGGAAGGGGGAGGUGCAGUGUAGGACAAAGGUGGAAGAUGGGAAGGAUAUAAGGAUAAUUUCGUAAUAUGACUUUUUUAUUUUUUUCUCAAGGUAAUUAUAACCUCCUAUAAGAGGUCAAAUUCACUCUUGCAUGGUGCAAGACCUAAGAUGUCCUUGCACCCUAACAGCCACCGAAAAUAAGUCACUGAAAUGUUUUUUUUCGAUUCGGAAUCCGAGGAAUUUUUUUAAUCAGAAUAGGCCCCUACCCGUAUUAUAUGCUUAUGUGGCUCUUAUUUUGCACAGUCAUCAAUUCGAAGUGUAUUUUUUAUUUUUUUUAUAUUCCAACUGUGUUAAUUAACAAUUUUUUUAUUUUUAAUUCACAAAUAAUUUUUUUUUUCAUCUCCAUUGCUGAAGUAAAGAGUGGCUCCCAAUCAUGUAGCUGACAACAAAUGUAAUUUUUCAUUCUUCUUCUCAUAAAUUUUUUAAUAGAAUUUUUAAUUGAUCUUCAUCUUCAACCCUCACUACCACAUUCAUCAAGCCCCCUUCAUUUCAUUUUCAAUAUUGCACCACCGCCAACCCAAGUUCUCACAAAAUCAUCACCACCCACAACCACCACAUUGUUCAAUCUUUCCAACCCAUAUCAGAAGAGAAAGCAUGAAACCAAAAUAUCCGAACUCAAAAACCCAGAUUCUCGACCCAAAACACAUACAACUAAAUUUAUUCACCAUCAUUUUCAUCAUUCUUUCAUCAUCUUCUUCCUUCAAUAGGAAAAAAAAUCAGAAAAACAAAAACAUAUAACCAAACCCAAUGCCAUCAACACCACCCAGAUCUGAACAAAGGAAGAUGAAGGAGGGAAGCCAUCGAAACCCAACACCCACCACAUCGAAUCGUCUCCCCAUCAGACCAGAUCUGCCUCCAAACCUUAGGGCCUCUGUUAUCUGCCUCUGGAACCAAACCUCAACUUCAUCUUCUUCAGAAAAGACACCAGAUCUGACCAGAUCCAACAAGAAAUUGACUACCUUCUGGCGGGGUAGGGCACCACCGCGACCCUUGACGAGGUUGAGGUGAGGGUCGACCUCAUCAGCACUGUCGAUGGUGAGAUUGAAGAAGAGUUGUUGUCGGCGCGAAAGGUGAACGAAGGUAUAGGCAGAGGCAGGUGAGUGCGAGGAAGGUUGUGGCUAUGGCGCGGUGUGGCUUUGUUUUGGUCGCAUUUUUGGAUCGGUGGUGGAAAACGACAACGACAGCGACAAGAGAUUGGAAAAUGACGGCGACGACAGGGAGGGGAUGGGUUGGAGAAGUGGGAGAAGUUUAGGUCUAAGAGGAUUUGUGUUCUGAGUGAGUGAGUGAGAGGGUGAAUAAUUUAUUUUAUGGUUUUUUGUGGUUAUUGGUGGAUGAAGAUGAUGAAUAAUUUAUUAAUCUUCUCCCUCCUAACCUAAUCUGAUUGAUCUAUGGGAAUUAAAAAUAAAGUUAUUUGUUAAUCAUAAUUUAUUUAACACAGUUGGAAUAUAAGAAAAAUAAAAAAUACAUAUGGAAUUGAUGACUACGUAAAAUAAGAGCCACAUAAGCACAUAACACAGGUAAGGACCUAUUCUAAUUAAUUUUUUUUCAGGGAUUCGGAAUCGGAAUUUUUUUUCAGGGACUUAUUUUCGUACGGGAGACAAUUUCAGAGACAUGCAUAGUAUUUAAAACUUUCGUUUAUUUACGCCGCAUUCAAGCGACGUAUAGUGAAGUUUUUCAAUCACUGCUAAAUGUGGAGUGUUAAAAAGAACAUACAUGUUUUUGACGGAGUCAAACUACUAUAAAAUUCGCCUUUGUUUUCAAAUGUAAAUUUAUUAAACUUUGUGUUCCUGUAAAUUCAUUUAAAAUCAUUUUCAAGAGUUUUUUUUUCCUAUUGUACAUGCACUUCUAAAUCAAUUCGGUAAAUUUUUCAAUUCAAUAAUUUCAUAUUAUGUGAUACAUUUAUUUCAAUUUUUUGUACAAAUUUUUCCUUGUAAGUGUCUACCGCUACAACGUCAAACCUCAGAGUCAACCUAUACAAAUAACGCAAACGGAUGUACAAAAAUGUCAGCUUAGAGUUAGUUAAACCGACACUAACUAUUAGUGUUGUCCACAAAUAGGCGAUGAUACAUGUUAGCUUCAAGUCGUUUAACGAUAGUUCCGGCGCCGACAAUAAAUCAACUACAAUGCCUAUUUUUGGCUUGUUAAAGGUUGCUUUCAGCCGACAGUAAUGGACAUUUUUUUUAUAGGCUAACAUCUAAAGUCACAUAUAAAUUAGUCUCUGAAAAUUUAUUUCAUAAGUUUUUGUCCCUGAAUUCUUCUUUUUUAUUCGAAAUAAAAUAAGUGACAUUAUAAUGCUCACGUAAAAGUUGAGUUUGGUCCUUGAAUGUUGAUUGGAAUAUUCAGGAAAGAGCAGGAGCUUGUGGAGUUGUGGUCGACGAAGGGUCUGAGAUUUGAUUCGUUCAUUCCAUCCUCCCUUGUUUGCAAUAUUUGAAACUCACUGUAGUUUUGAUUCUGUCUCUCACUUCUGGACGACUGCUGGCUAUGGGGGGUGUGGUAGCUCAGAGGCAGUGGGGCACCGGGGAGGUGUAUGCGUUUUAGUUCCAGUGGAUCGGAGCUUCACUAUUCAGGUUGUUGAUAUACAUGUGCAGACUGUCUUAAACUCAAUGAGCUCCAGCAACAGGUCUUGGACUUGUUAUGCGCAAUUUAUGCAAACCUGAAUCCCACCUUGAGGGAAGUGUAAGAUCAAGGUUUGAUCAGUGGUUGCAUCUCUAUAUUUUGAUGAUUACAAUUAAGGUUUGUGAUGAUGAACAAUUGUGGUACCCUAACGUUUGUCUUCUUUAGUUGUGACAAACAGGUUCUGAAUCUGACCCAAGACUAUUUAUUCAGAAGAAGAAGAACCAAGGGAUACUAAAAAGAGAGUCCUAAAGCGUACCAUGUUCGUUCUGAACAGUGGAAAAUCCUUCAGAAGUUCUGAAGAUUCAAGCUCUCAAGAGGUUCUGAAGAACCAGAGUCAGAAGUUCUGAAGACCAGAUGUUCCAGUGGAACGGUCCAGAAGUAGAAGACUCAAGUUCUGAAUACCUGCAGGAAGUUGGUCCUGAAGACCCAAGCUAUUCUUGCUCUGACGUUCAGAAGUUCCAAGGAACUUGUUCAGAAGCAGAAGUUGCAAGGUCAGAAGAAUCCAAGCGUUAAUCUGACGAAGAUCAGAAGCUUCACCAACGUUCAUCUGAAGCACCUCUGAUCUCAAGUCAACUGGUGAAAGGACAGGUCGCUAUCAUAGUACAACAUCGUACAAGCCUUAGUCUGUCUGCCACCUACCUUGUUCAACCUAGCAGUCUGAUAUUACAAGAGUGCCACUCCAACGGAUAAAACCUUAGCAACGGCUACAUCACAAGUCUUGGAGUAUAUAAAGGCUGAAGAAAGAAGANAGAGCCUAAGAAACUUUGCUGAAAUCAUUCAACAUAUACGAACUCUUAGCAUUAUUUCUUCACUGUUCUUAAACAUCUGAGUUUACUAUUAGCUUUUCAGAAGCACUUGUUGUAAACCCGAAACCUUUUACAUGACAUUGUAAAGUUCCUUAAGAGACCAAGGUUGGUCGGAUCUUGAGAGGACUGAAUCAAGGCUGAUUCAGUGUUUAGCUAGUCUUAAGAGGAUCGGUAGAUCAGCUUCUUAAGAGGAUACUAGUGAGAAAAUCAGUGUAUUGUUAGUCACUUAGCAGGUUGCAAAGUGCAGUUGUAACACUCAUUGAUUUUAGUGAAUUGCCUUCAUCAGAAGAAGGAAGAAAUCACCUUAACAGGUGGACUGGAUUAGCUUGAGCUUUUAUCUCAAGUGAACCAGGAUAAAAUACUUGUGUGCUUUACUUCUUAUCCUUCACACCUAUUUAUUAUCUUCGAGUUUUGAAAAGUUUCAAAAGUGUACCCAUUAUUCAAAAACUCUAUUCAAACCCCCCCUUUCUAGUGUUUUUCGCACCUUCAGGAAGAGCUUUUGGGCCACUUGACUCAUCUAAGGCAACAAAUUCUGGAACCUUGGCUUGCUAAUGGGGACUUCAAUGAGAUUACUUCUCCAUCUGAGGUUUUAGGAGGGGAGUACUGUCAGAAUCGGGCGUCCCGUAUGCUAUCUAUGAUGGAGGCCUACGAGCUCAUUGAUAUGGGAGCCACAUGGAGUGUGUUUACUUGGGAAAGGAGACAUAACAGACGACGUAUGAUUUCUAAACGUUUGGAUAGGGAUGUUGGGGAUGUUUCUUGGCGCCACAAUUUUCCUGAGGCCUAUGUAGAACAUUUAGCCCGAGUUUACUCAGGUCACUGUCCGGUGCUGGUUAAAUGCAAUGCUGCUUUGGAGGACCGUUUAGCUCGUCCUUUAUGUUUUCAUGCCGCUUGGGCGGCACAUCCUCCCUUUGCCCCUUGAUUAGGGACACUUGGAAGGAACCACCACCUUCUUUGGUGCAACCCAUCCUUUUAACACUAACGUGUUCGAGAAUAUUACUAGGAGGAAGAAAUAGGUGGAGCGAAGACUACAACAUGAAUUAGAAGUUAGAGAGACGAAGUCCAUGCUACGACUAGAGAAAUCUUUGCAAGAAUAAUAUGAGCAAAUCCUAACCCAGGAGGAGUUAACGUGGUUCCAAAAGUCCAGGGAGAGAUGGACGAAGUUUGGAGAUCGUAAUACAAAAUUCUUCCAUAGCCAAACUAUAGUGAGACGAAAGAGGAACAAGAUUCAUGGGAUGUUUGUUGGAGAGGAGUGGUGCACAGAGCAUGAAGCGUUAAGGGCGGGGCCCAAGCGUUUUUCACUAAUCUUUGUUAUGUUGAUUCUCAGGUUCGCAGGAAUCAUGUCAUGGGCAUUGUGCCGCCUUCCAUUCCUGAGGGGGAGCAGAAGAACCUAGUUUAACCAAUCUCUCUGGAGGAACACACUCCUAUGGGAGCCACUACAAUAGGGUGGGAUGAUCACUAAUUUUGAUGCUCAGUCCAAAGCACCAAUGUUUGUUUUUGAGGAUGGAAGUUGGAACCCAAUUGUGUGGGGAGGAGGGGUUGCGCGACUGUACUUCAGAACAACGCUGAUGCAUGGGUUUCUGGUGUUUUCAUAAGCUUCAACCAUGGGAGUGCUUUUUUGGCUGAACUUAUGGCGGUGGAGCCCGAGAAUUGAAGCUGGUAGAGAGGGCUCCUAGAUUCAGAUUUGGAGAAACCCUCCCUCUUUUGUUUAUGCAUCGCUGUAUUUGGAUGUUGUUAGUUAGCCUUUCUUUUUGCUAUUAAUUUUCCUCAUGUAAUAAAAAAAACGACAUGUAAGAAAUCACAUUAUGUGCGCUGACAGACAAUGUAAAAAUCUUCAGAGUGUAAUCCAAAUCAGAUUUUAAGUAGGAGAAAAAACCUGUUUGUUUUUUUAAAUUUAAAUGAUUAAAGUUGCACUUUUAAUUUUUAAAAUCCAAUUGGUUUAGAGUGUAUUUUUUUUAUUUAAUGAGUCAACAUAAACAUCAUUAAUUAACAUAUUAUGCCAGGAUAACUUAAGUGAUAAAAGCUAAUAGACAUAUGAGUUGGAGAGAUGGAGAUAGGGGAUCAAUCUUUAAAAUGCAUAUUGGACAUUUUCUAUGUUGAUCGCUUCCUGACAAUAAGGUUAAGAUCAAUUUUCUUGUGCAUUGUUAAUCCUGGGAUCACUUGUGUGUCCAACAUCUCUUCCUUAUGAAUUCCUGGAGGAACAUCCCAAUCAAACGAGUGGAGAAGAUUAGCUAGUGAAAGCUCAAUCGUGGCCACUCCCAUGUUCAUCGCUGGACAAAUUCUCCUUCCACUUCCAAAAGGAAUAAACCCAAAGUCUCUCCCCUUGAAAUCUAUUGAACUCCCAAGGAACCUUUCAGGGUAAAAUUCUUCAGGGUCUUCCCAGAUCUCAGGGUCUCUUGCUAUUGCCCAAGCGUUAACAUGCACUAAAGUUCUUGCUGGAAUCUCAUACCCAUCUAUGUUGCAACUUUCUAUUGUUUCCCUUGGUAGAAGUAAUGGUGCUGGUGGGAACAACCUCAAUGCCUCUUUUACCAUUGCUUUAAAAUAGUGAAGCUUUUCAAUUUCAUCUUCGCUUAUAAAAUCUUUGUCCCCAAAUAAGUCUCUGAUUUCCCCGUAAACCUUAUUCAUCACUCUACGAUUCUUCAAUAGUGAUGUCAUAGCCCAAACUACUAAGGCUGAACUUGUGUCUGUUCCUGCUAUAAAGAUGUUCUGCAUAUAUAUAUAUAUAUAUGCAUGAUCAAUAACACAUAAUUAAUAUUUGUAUAUAUAUGGGACGUAUGAUAUAAGAAAUUAUUUGUUUUUUUAUGAAAAAGUAAGAAUAAAUCACGACCGUUAGAUUUAAUCAUGAGCGGUCAAAAUUAAAACAACUUAAUGAUCAUGUGAUCAUUUAAAAAUAUAAUGUAACUUCAUGUUUUAAUUUGACCAUUUAUAAUUAAAUUCAACAUUCAUGAUUCAUUUUUAAUUAUGUUUUCAUAUAAAAACAUUUUUCUGAUAAUAUACAUCACAGUGGACUAGUUUAAAAAGGAAAAAGCUGAAUGUUACCAAAAGAAAAUUCGUUAACCAUUUUGAUUGGCUAAUGUUUAUCAUUUUACAGCCACUAUUAAAUGAUGUUUAGCAACCACCAAUUAAUUACUCUCUUCCACAUCAGCGUUCUUACCUUUCUUGAUGGAGUAUUAGCAUUAACUUAAUUGCUCAUUUAAAUUAAUCUACUGUGAACACUAAUUAUGUACCACUUUGAAAUUUUUGAUCUACCAUGCCAUCCUUAUUUGGUCCUUGUCCUUGCCAUCCAUUUUAAUUUUUUAUCUCACUCUCGACCAUCCAAAAUAAUUGAUCCACUCAUUAAUUUUUAAAGCACCAAGCCGUUCUCAUUAAUUUUUUAUCUACUCUCUUUUGCAAAAGUUGAUCUAGCUUUCCAUCUUUAUUUAACUCAAACUUUUUUAUGGUACUUGCUACGAUACCACAACACUUGUGUGGGUAUGAUACACGAAAAGGUUGUGGACCAAUCACAUCCUCCGUAUUUAAAAAGAAAAAAAUGAAAAUAUAAAUUAUUUUUGUUGUGAACCAAUCACAUCCUUCAUGUAUGAUACAUUGUGGGUAUCAUAGAAACCACCCUUUUUCAUAUAUAAGUCAUUUAGACAACCUUUUCUAAAUGAUCUAUGUGGGUUACUAACCUACAAUUCAAUAGACCAAUAAAAUUUUAUAUAAAUAGAUUAAUAAAUAAAAUAAAGAAAUUUCAACUCACUUAUCUUCGAUGUGAUUGGACGAUGAGUUAUUUAACCCAAACUUUCUAAUGAGUCAUUUUAAAAAUGAUUUAUCUUAUAACAUCUCUAUCGUUUAGUAUUAACAGAGUGGAGGUAGGAUUUUAUUUUAAGGGGCAGAAAUCAAAUUAAAUAGCAUGUAAAAGACUAAGUAGUGAUCAGAAAACAAAAUUAAACUAAGGAUGGCAAGGUGCUUUACUUACCAUAAGAACGGCUUUUAUAUGGUCGAUAGUGAGAUCAAAAGAGAGUGAGUGAUUGUUCAUAAUCUCCAGAAAAAUAUCAAUAAUGUCUGCUACUUCUUUGUCACUAGUUUUAGGCCUGGUUAGAUCCAUGUGGUCCUGGAUAACUUGCUCGUAGAUCAUAUCUAACUCCUUGGAGGCUUUGUCUAGCUUCCACAGAGUUCCUCUCAGUCUAUCAACCCACGCUAUCAAUGGAAAAUAAUCUGAAAAAAUAAAACUCUGUAAACAAAGCUUCGGCCUCAUUGAGCAACAUGUGCAUUCUACUCUUCCUUUGGCCACUUCCUAGACCAGCUUCUUCCUUAUAAUCACAGCCAUACUUUUUACCAAAAGCUAUUCUUGCAUAUUAAGGGAGCUUUUGGAAGAACAUUCAUUGUUUCAACAAAGUUACUGCUUUGCUUGAAGACUAUAUUUUGAAACUUUGUGAUCAUUUGGCGACUUCUUUUUCUUUANNNNNNNNNNNNNNNNNNNNNNNNNNNNNNNNNNNNNNNNNNNNNNNNNNNNNNNNNNNNNNNNNNNNNNNNNNNNNNNNNNNNNNNNNNNNNNNNNNNNUUUUUACAAAGCUUUCUGCUAUUAAGAGGUUUGAAAGAAUCAAUGUUUCAGUCAAGUUCACUGCUUUGCCUGAAGCAUCAUAUUUUGAAACUUUGUGAAUCAUUUGGGCAACUUCAUUUUCUCUUAUAGGUCGAAAGGAUUGGACACGUUUAGAGCUGAAGAGGUGGAUGAUACAAAGUUUCUUAAUUUCUCUCCAAUAAGGACCAUAAGGUGUAAAAGCCACGUCUUAAGCCAUUGUAAGAAAAUUUCCUUAGGCCAAGGAAAGGUGGCCUGCUUGCAAACUUGAGGUCAUGGGUUUUCAAGACUUCCUUGGCCAUUUUUGCUGAGGAAACCACCAAACAUGGCACACAGCCAAGGCGCAAUGACAUGAGAGGUCCAUAGCGUUUGGAGAGUUUCCAUAGAGAGCUAUGUGGGGAUGAGGCAUCAAGUUGGUGUAUAUUGCCAAUGAGAGGAAGACCUAGAGGACCAGGUGGAAGAGAAGCUCUUGCACUAUAUGUUAUGAAUUUGUGAACAAUGAAUAUGAUGAUGAUAGAUAAGAAAGAAAGAAGAACAAGCACCGCCAUAAUGUAGGCAUACAUGUUAAUUACACCUCUUUCUUUCAAAUUUAUAGAAGGCUAAAAAAUAGUAGUAAACAUCAAAUUGACUGUAUACAUUCAAAUGAACAAAAAUAAAGAAUUAAUGGUUAAAUUAGUCAUUCUGCUUGUAUGUCCAUUUGAUUUUAGUUUCUCACCAAAAAAUAAUUAGUGAUUGUCUCUGCGUUACAUCAAGUUUGAUUUUAGUCUCACCAAAAGACGGAGCUCCGACGAGCAUGUCUAGUGGUAGAGUUGACAUGACAUUAUAGACGUCAUUUUUAAUUCAAUUUUAAUUUUCACCUAUAUAAUUAAAAACUAAAAAAUUAAAAAUUAAUAAAUAAACGCAUCAUCUUUAUCAUAAUAUCCCCUUCGUCGCUGAUCACCACGGGCAAAAUUCACACUCCAUGAUCUUCAUCUAAUCUUCAACAUCUUCCUCUUCUUCAAUACUUUUGUGUUUCGUCCACAUGUAUAAAGAUGGUGCAAUAGUUGGACCUUUUGCCGUCUCUCAUUGUCAUCCUUCAUAAAUAUUUAUGAUAGAAAGAUUUUUUUUUAAAAGGAUAGAAAUUUACACAUAUGCCAAAACAUCAAUUGCUUUUCCUUGUCUUCAUUGAACAUGUAUAUACAUGCUAAGAAAGCUAAUUGCCUCCACGCAAUUGUCCUAGCUAGAAUCAUACAUAAGAACACAAUAUACAGUUUCCAAUGAUAACAAAUAUGUACAGAUUGUUCCCAAAAUAUCUUGCCAAUUUGCUGAUAUGAUUGGAUAUAAUCGGUGGAGAUUCAAGAAUUCUAGUUUGUGGAAUAACUUACACAUAUAAAUUUAUAAUACUUAAAAUAUUAAAAUAACUAGUGUUUUUACCCGCGCGUUGCACGGGAAAUAUGUUUAUUUUAUUUGAUACAUCAAUCAAUUCAUUGAUUAUUAAAAAUAUAAUAAAAAACAAAUGAAAUAGAAGAGUCAGAAAUGAUGAACAAAGUGGACAAAAGACUUCUCUUCUAAGCCUGAUUGAAAUCAACAGGAACUCGUUUCACAUUCUUAUCCGUGCGUUGCAAUCGGAAUAUGUCUAUUGUAUUUGAUACGUCAAUCAAUACCUUGAUUAUUAAAAAUAUACACAAUCAAAUUUAUGUCUGUCCAUGCUCUGUGGACCUUCAGCACCACAUCAACUCCUUUUUCCUAGAAUUAAAAUUAAAUAAAUAAUAUGAUAAAUUAAGAUAAAAUCAAGAAAUAAACAACCUAAAUUCUAAUCAAAUCUAAAAUUUAAGAAGGUACUAAAUAAAAAUAAAUAAAAACUAUCAAAAUCUAGCAAAUCACAAUAAAAACUCAUAAAAUCCUGAAUUAAAUAAAAAUCGGAAAAUGUUGAAUAAGUAGGAUGAAGUGACGGUUGACCCCUAUCAGCCCGACUUCCUUUUGAAAUAACCGGAAGAAUUUUCCUGAAGUCUCCUCACCUUACCCCAGAAAGGUUUGUCGCGACCAAAAUUUGCUAUGGUUUUCAUAACGUUAUAAGACUCGCCUUUUGGAGCAAUUCAGCUUUAGGCGAUCCCUGGCGAAGGUUGCAUGUGGAGACUUCAUUUAUUGAGAUGAGUAUUGAAAAUCUGGGAUAAGCAGUUCUCCCUCAGUAAAGAAGCUAUCCCACUGGAUGCAACAUUUAAAACAAUUAAACCUUUAGAGCACACCGCAGCAGACAAUGUGUUCCUCCCAAACCGUAAAGGAAAAAGAACCCUCCCUUAUUACACAUGACGACAUCCAACACCUGGUUAUACACAUGCUUUUGUUCUCCGGUAAGUGAACCGACCGACUCUUCAUGAACUUUGCUCAUCUCUUUCUUAUUGUAGUUGAGCUCAUCCAAAACGAACUUAUUUUCAAAAUUCAUUAUUUCAGAAAAAGUAGGAUAUAGUAAAGACGAAAUUUUUUUAAGAGAUCUGGCAUUGCACUGUAGCUCCUUUUCAAUUUCAAUUAGACACAUAUUCAUCAACUCGAUUUGGAGAUCUGCAUCGCGCAUCAAGUGAACAAUUAAUAGCACGGAAAAUUAAAUAAAUAAAAAUAAGAUUAAGGUAGGUCACGUAAGCUUUCGUCAAUGUAAUGUGCAUGUGUUGUUGGAAUAUACCAAAAUUAAAAUAUUAAUAGAAACAAAAUAACUUACAAUAAAAAAAUUUAAGAGAUGAAGUACCUGGAAUAUUAAGCGCUUUCCUUCUUUCGUACAAAAUUCCAUCACUCAGAAGCCUCCAUGUUUUUUGCCAAACUUCUUUUGGCCUGCUCAUUGCGUUUGUGAUCAGCAUUCUAGUAGACAAAUUCCUUAGGAAAACUCCAGAUCCCAGUAUACUUACGCCAAUAAUUCUAUCGAUAUGCUCCCGAUAAUCCUCCAUUAACCCCAAAGCUUCACAUGCAUCGUGAAAUGUGGGAUAGACAACAGAUCGUUCUUGCAUCCCCUUACAUUUGAAGGAUUGAUAGUGCGAGAUGACCUUUUAUUUGAAAGUACCCGUUUCCUUCUUGCUCUAGCUUCAGCAUAUUGUGAGACAUGAGAUAUCCUUGCACGGUCCAUGGAUGAAAGUGCUCUUAUAGUAGGGUUUGAACAAAACUACACUGGUGGAAAAACCAUAUGAAAAGGAUAGUUAAUGGGUUUGAGAUGCUAUUCAAGAUAAAUAUAAAUAAUUGAUUGGAAAUUAUUAAUGAUAUCAUAUGAUAUUAAUUUAAGUCACUGAUUGGAAAUUUAAAUGUUAAAAUAAAAACUAUAAAAUAUUUAUUCAUUGAAUAUUUUUUUCUUUAAAUAUCUUAAUGCUAUCAAAUAUUUUAUUGCAAGUCGAAUAAGUCCAAAAAUUUAUAUCGUAUGCGAUGUUUAUGAAAUUAUAAUUAAAAUUUUCACGGUUGGGAUUAAAAUAUUAAAAAGGUGAGGACAAUUGUUGGCUUAAAUUUGAAAACUGACUUUUUUAACUUUAAUUUAUUGGAUGCAACAAUAUAUGCAAUCAAUUCACCUGCAUAGCAUAAUAUUGACGUGCAUAAUGUUUUUAACUUAUAUUUACUUUUAAUUUAUUGAUAUUACUAGUAUUUAUACCCGUGCGAUGCACGGGGAUAUUCGUUUUUGUUUGUCCGUGAAAAUCUUCAAAAUUGGGUUAUUUUUGGUAUGUUUUUAAAAGACAUAGUAAAAGAAAAAAUUUAAUUUUAGAUAUAAAAAACAGAACUUUGUAAGUUUUUUCGUGGUGAAUGUGUUAGUUAUUGGUUUGUAGAAGCACCAUUAUUAUAGUUAUUUGGGUUUUGUUUUUUUUUUUGGAAAAGUGGAAAGAUAAAUUACCUUGAUCAAAGAUGAUUUAUGAACCUUUCCUUCAAACUAUAUAUACCUACUNNNNNNNNNNNNNNNNNNNNNNNNNNNNNNNNNNNNNNNNNNNNNNNNNNNNNNNNNNNNNNNNNNNNNNNNNNNNNNNNNNNNNNNNNNNNNNNNNNNNAAUUCGUCUUGAAAAUAAAACUGAGAAAACAUAUUUCCUAAAUUAAAAGAAAAGAUAGAGGAAAAAAUAAUAGUAAAUUUAAUGGUAUUGAUGUAACCACUAAUUUUUUUCUUAUAUUUUAAAUGUUAUAAUUAAUAGAUAUUUAAUAAAUAUCUAUUAAAUUAAGUGAAAAGUUGCAUAUGGCAAACUCAAAUAUCACAUUGCAGGCUAAAGCAAGGAAACACUUCGAAACACCAAAUCCAUUGGUUUUGUUUCAGUACCCGUAAAAUCAUACACUGUGGAACUCCAAGGCUAUAGAGAUAGCAAUAGAGAAGCCACAAACACCUCUCUAAAGUGUAUUAGAAAUAGAAUAAUGUACAAAAUCAAGCAUAAAAAGUCUGAGCUACAAUUUUUUUUAUCAAUCAAAUGGUCAAACUUAAUUCAGCCGCUAGAGUCUACAGAGCUACUUGCUAGUAAAAUAGUCAAAGGGCUCUUUUAUGUCAAUCAUUGGACACCAACAUUCAUAAGAUUCAGUAAAAUACUACACAAUUUUAUAAGGUUUGCAUUGAGUUCAUUAAAAAGUGAUCAUACUGAUAAAAAUCAGCAAGCUUCAAAUUACAGCGUGUCUCUGCCAGUUUCAUAUAUACCAAUCCUUUAGUAUGCGUCCCAAGAAGGAAAUCCUUUGAACGUUUCCAGCAAAUGUAUUUCAGCACAAAACAGGCACAAAUCCAAUUGCUGAAUGCAAAGACACCCAUCAAAGUCACAUUAAGCUCUCAAAGUUCCUCAACCAUUGUAGUGAAUUUUAUGAUUUUGGGAGCUCAUACCAUGAGGCUGCUGUUGGGAAGCAUGCAUGUUCAACAGAUGUAUUGUAGUGAGCCAAAGGCUGAGAGUAGAGACAAUUCAUCUGCAAAGAACCUAGGAAAUUUAUUGGAUGUAAGAGUUGCAGUGCCAAAUAACAUGAAAAACCAAGCUUCAGUAAAAUAAGGCAUAAAACAACCACAUCAUAUUAAUUUUAACUGAUUAUUGUUAUAAUUAUACAUUUUUAUUAAAAAGCUGGAACUACAUGAAACCUGAGUUUGAAGGUUAGCAUUAGAUCUCCAUUUCGCUAACUUUCUAUCUAUUAUCUAUAUAUUAUUUCUCCUCAGCUCUUCUAAUUAACUAAUUACUAAUGGUUGCAUAAAACUAUUCACCUCUCACCAGUUACAAAUUAAUAACUUUUAAUGUUUCUCCACAUGUUACAAAUUGAUCACUUUUAAUGUCCCUCAUCUGUUACAAAUUAAUAACUUUUAGUGUCUCUCAUCCAUUACAAAUUAAUCACUUUUGAUGUUUCUUCAUCAUCUAUAGUUACGAUAUAUCUUAGACUGACCUACAAAUAUUAUCUUAGUCCUUCUAAUUCCAAAGACUAUUUUAUCUAGUCUUUGCAUGAGGAGCAUUUUCGGUACAUUUUUCCCACAUGUUCCGAUCACAGCUCAACCAACAAUACAUAAACAACCAAUGAAAAAUCAUAAUCAGGCCUUGAAAACCAUGAUUGAAUUGGGAAAAAAAAUCUUGAACCUUAUUGAAACCAUGAUGGGCUUCAAUCGCAAGCUUAAUCUUCUUUCCAUUCAGUAUAAACAUGUUACAAUAUAAGCAAAAAAGGAAAAGACAAAUGACCUAAGGGGCACUCAUGUUAACCUCACCAGACGUCUUAACAUAAAAUUGUUAGAGCCUAGAGAGCUAUCUAAUCUAAGAUCAACAAAUAAAUUAGUGAAAGAAAUUGAAAAAGAUAGAGGAAUUAGAGAACUACCAAUGCAAUGCUCUAAUUUUCUGAAGGUUCGUUCUGAUGGCUUUUAGCGGCACCAUAUUGCAAUGCUUCUCUAGCAGUUUUCAGCUGAUAGGAGAAAAGGAAAUUAUCUAAGCAGCACUUCAGAUCACUUGAAAAAUAAACGCAUUACAAAAUUAUCAAAAAAUGAAUAAAAAUUAUAAACAAUAGAGGAACUUAUAAGAGAAAUAACAAAAAUAGAUUGAAACAGAUUAAAAUAAACAUUAAAAAAAAAUUCAAAACCCAAAAUCCAAAUGAUUCUGCAAAUUUUUUGAAAAGAAAAUCAAAAGCAUGAUCAUUAAUCAUCUUAAAGCCCAUAAUCACAACCAUAAUGGAAAAGAGAAGUCACAGUAGGAAUUGAAACCUAGAGCUUGAAAAGAAAUUAGAAAGAACAAACAACAUGGAAGUCAAUUGAUAACAUAAAAAAAUGGAAGAUAAAAUUAAAAGGUCAUUAUUGACAUCUAGAUGAAGAGUUCAAGAAGUUUCUCAUCCAACCCUAGAUGCACACAGCCACAAUAGUGAUGACCACUUUAUUGAAAAACAUGCACCCUACAUCGAGCAAAUUCAGUGAAAUAAAAGCGUUAAAAAUGGAUUUCUAAACACUAAUAAGAUAAGAAAGAAUCAGAAGAUUUGAACAGAGGAAUCAAUUUUUUACCUCCGUCGUGUCUGUGCCCUCACAGUCUAAAAUCAGCGUGGAACCCUAGCUCUGUAAAUUGGAAGGUGUCGCUGAGGAUCUGAUCGAACAUAAAUGAAGAACAAAGGAGUGAAGCAUAGAUGGAUUGUGAGACCCAAGUUUUUAAGUUUGGAAUAAACCGAAUAAAAUUCCUUUUCACGAUUAAAUUGAUGUAACGUGAAGGAAAAUCUGAACAAGUGUUUAUUGAAUGGAAUCAAUUUGUGAAGGAGAAAGUUCAGGAAAAAGCUAAGGAUUGUAUCAAAAUCGAUAAAAGUUAUAGCACGAUUAGUAUUCGCUUAAAACUAGGUCAAGAAUGCUAGUAAAUAGCUAAUUUAUAUUUUAAGACACGACGGAAACUAAUUCCAAAAUCUUCAGAGAAAUGUUAGAACUUUUCUUAUUCGCCUAUAAACAAGCGUUUCGAUACGAAACCCUGGAAUGUACGAACGUCAAAUUCCAAUACUCGGAAGUUUGCCGAAACCGAAUUACUGAUAGUUCAGAAACCCUUUAAUCAACGGACGAUGAAGACUUUUUCUAUUCGGAGCUUCAAACGAAGAUUCCACACGCGUACGCCAUAUUUAUCUCGAUAUUUCUAAUCUUUCUUCAGAACGAAGUUUUCUCAUCCGACAUCAACUGCAAAAAGUAGUUUUUCGGGUAAAAUCGAUUUACACCGACUUUUGAUCGUUUGAUUAAAUUCCAAGAAACCUGUUUUGAGUUAUGGAAUUCUGUCGCCAGAACCUAUCUUAGAAUUCUCCGAGGAUUACGCAGGAAAAAUCGGAAUCGCGAAAUUUUCAUUUUUCCAAAUUUUCCAAAACCUAUAAAUAGCGAGAAAAUGAAAAAAAUUCAAAAACUCACCCCAUUUCUUCCCAAAACCCGCGAGCUUCCAAGGAGAGGAGGAGGAUUUGAUUUUCGCCGAUUCUUGCCCGUUUGCUGCACCGAUCGUUGCUAAUCGAAGACUUCGAGGUAUAGAUACCAUAUCUCACUUCUGAUCGUCGUUUCUGUCGACUUCUUCUAUGUCUUACCCGCAUCCGCAAUGACCGCAACCGCGUCCGCAACCGCGACUGCAACCGCAAUUUAGAACACUACCAAGGACCCCUUCAUCAAGCCCCCAUGCACACGCCGCUCUGAUAUUCUCAAUCAACUCAUUAAUCUCAAGGUUCAUAACCUCUUUUGGUUCUUAAUUUCUCAUAUGGGGUGUUCCCUUUCCGCUCAAAGUUCUAUUCUUUUGGGAUUCAGAAUUUGUGAGUGAGUGAUACCCUUUGCGUACAACAAUAAAAGCAGGGAAGGAAGGUGAACCAAGAAGAGGAUGAUUACGAGGAAGCUGAAAAAGGUACCCUUUUCUGAUUUUUCUGGGUUUUUCUAACCCUGUUUUCCUUUUAACCCUUUUUCUUCUAUGAUUCCUUUCAUCGUUCUGCCUUUGCUACCUCUGUUAUAGUAAGAAACUAACUUAUCUUUCUGCUGAAUUUUGACUCAGUGUUUUCUAUUUCCUAUUUGCAUCCUGAUAGCCCCAAUUUCAUGCCUUAUUGAGGUUCUUCCUAUAACCAGUCCUGAAUGAGAAGGGAUUUCAUGGAUGGAUUUGUAGGAUUGCUAAGGUUUUCACAAGCUGAGAGACACAAAGUUCCUUACUGAAACAACUUUUUUCUUCACUUUUGUUGAUAUAAACAUCAAAUAAGGGGCAGACAUGCGGAAGCAUUCACGCACAUGUGACAUGCUGUCAUCAUUAUAUGGAUUUGAUUUUUAACUUUUUAUAAAUGAGGAAGUCUGUGUAAUCAAGGUGCACAAUCAUUCUAUGUAAAUGGAGAAGUGAUUAGUGUCAUGUGGCUUCAUGGUGAUCCUGAUAUAAGCAAAAGUUACAUCACGAACAUGUUUGUUGAGGUAUCUACUACACUGUUUUGAUUUGAACUUUUGGUCAUUAUUGUUUCUAGAAGAGAAUAAAAGAAAUAUUUAAAAAAUGUGGGAAUAUUUUGUCCCAUGAAGCUGCCCUGUCUGAUGAUGGGAAGAGCAAAGGAUACAACUUUGUUCAAUUUGAAUCAAAGGAAUGCACAAAUGAUGUAGUGGGCUCUCCACCUUUUGGUUUUUUAUUCUGUUGGUUGAAUAGUUGUCUUUCUCAUUCAUUAAUUACUAUGAAAAUCAAUACAUGAAGACAAGUAACAACUUUGAGAGGGUACUACACUUUUUCUAAAUCCUUUCUUACCUUGAAAGGUUAUUAUUUCUCGCAAACUCUGUUUUCAUGUGGACAGAGUAACCACCCAUGCAAUAGUGUUUCCUUUCAUGUGCUUAUAUUUGGCUUUUUGAUAGAUUAAGAAGUCCUUUGUGUAGAAAAUGCGGUAAGAGUGAUCAAAAUCACCCGGUUUUCAUUUUGGAUAUUGUGCCUUAUUAGUUUGUGCAAUUUGGUUGUGCUUCAGCAUGCUUGGCUGAGAAAUCUCACACUUGAGGAAAUUGCUACAUCUGCUUAUCACAAAGAAAUUCUAGAGUUUGCUAUCACAUGUAUCUCUCUUUGAGAUGUUCACACCAUAGGUAUGCAAAUUUUCAUGCAAUGGGUUAUAUAAUUGAUUUAGUGCCCCAUGAAGUGUUAGUUGGGCAUAUUUGCUUUUACCUUGAAAGAUUGUGCUGAGAAUCUGAGAUGUUUGAUCAAAAAGUGCGCUUCUAUUUGGCGGAAAGAGUGAUCAAAAAGUGUUAGUUGGACUUCUAUAUGGGUUUUGCCUUAGUGGGAGACUAUCUGCCAUGGGUUUUUCUUUAUGGUUUGGCUGCCUUCUAUGCCAUCAAUUGGAUCUUCGGUGCUCUUCCUUCAUCUAUUGGAUAUAUAAUUUUUGUAAGUCCUUUAUGCUGAGGGAUGUGGGCAGGAGUACACUUCCUAUGUGUAUAGAUGCCAAGCCUUAGUGAGGUUGGGGAUACAAUUAAUAGAUCAUCAUCCAAUAAACUUACAGUUAAUAUAUAGUAGCUUUAAAGGAACUUCAAUGUGUCUGAACUCAUGCUCUGAAAUCAGGGUACCAAAAUACAAGCUUCGGUGAAUUUUUUUUGUAGUUAUAUUGACUCUUGGAAAAUUCAAAUCUUCUUGAAGUUAUUACAUUGAGCUUUUUAAAUCAUUUCCUUUAUUUUUCAAAAGAGAGUUAGAGGUGAUAUAAGUUUCUACAGUUAAAAAUUCUGAAGAGUUAUAGUGGUAUACAGCUUGAGAGUUGUACACUUGAACUGUGAACACCAUCAAGUAUAAUAUUUGACUGUAUUGUUGAUGGGUGCUUGAAUUUUGUAAGCCUCACCAUGGUAACUCAAUAUAUGCAACAACCUCUUCAAUUUUGAUUCAUAGAAUGAAGGAACACCCCCCAUAUUUAAUGAGUAGACAUGAACCAAAUUCUUCUACAUUCAACUAGGACGCACAUGUCUUUUUGAAUUUUUAAUAUGUUAAGAUAACACUUUAUCCUUAUACACUACAACAUUAAGAGAUUGGCAAGAAAAAAAAUUGAAGAAGGAGAAUGGUGGAAGUGAACUGUGCCAUGCUCUAUAGCGUAGAUUCUUAUAAACAUUGCUUUAGUUUUGAAGUCAAAAUGUGACAAAGGUGCUUACUUCAAUUGCAUUAAUUUUUCGUUAGAGCUCAAAGGUCACUAUUUACUAUUUUGUGGGAGAUCAAUAGUCACCUAUUAGAUGUCUAAGUAAUAAGAUAUUAUUUGAUCACAUUGAAAGUACAUCAACCAAAGUAUUACAUAAAAGGCAUAAAGAAAUGAAUUGAGUGGCCUUUUAACUAUGACAUGAUUUUGUUCAAUUUGAUUCAGGUGCAGUGACAGUUAAGUUCCAGACUUUAAAUGCAACUUUUUCUUGACCUACUGGAUCAUCCUCUAUUGAUUUAGCCUUCUUCAUUGAUUGCGCAGUAUAGAAACAAAGCAGGAGAUAGGUGCGGAAGUGAAAGUGAGAUGGUCAAUGAGGUGAGAAAGAUGGUGGUUCAGGAUCUUUGCUUCCUUGAGUGGCAUAAUCUAUAUAUAUAUAUGUAAAGCACACUUGUGUUUUUGCAUGCAAUAGAUGCAUUAAUUCAUAAAAGCUCACAUACAUUUAUAUUAAAUACAUUAAAAAAUAAAAAAUUUAAUAAAUUAAAAACUGAAAAAAAUUGUAUUAUAAAAAACUAUUCAACUACUUAUAUUAAAUAACAACAUUCAUAGACUUAAAAUUGACUUGAGCUUUGCAUUUGAAAAAUUUAAAAAAUUAAAAUUUAAAAAAAAAAUUUAUUAAUAAAUAAUUUAGAUAAAAUACUUUUAAAAUAAAAAGUUUUCUAUAUAUAUACAUAUGUAAAGCAAAUUUGAAAAAAUAGCAUUAAACACAUAAAAAAAUAGUAAAUUUCUUUUGAAUUAAAAACAUUAAAUAAAAAAUUGAAAACUAAAAUAAAAACUACAUCCACUUUAUUAUUCAUUAUAUUAAUUAUUAAUUGUUAAACUUUUCAAUUUCUCAUAUUUAAAAGUAAAUAUUAAGUAACCAAAAAAAAGUAAAUAUUAAAAUUAAAAUUUUUUCAAUUUCUCUUAUUUAAAAUAUUUAAAUUUUAAUUAUUCAUCACAACUUGAGGUGAUUGUUUUAAAAAAUAAUAAUAAUUGAAAUUGACUACCUUUCCAUUAAUGACAAUAAUAGAUUGUUAAUAAUAAUUUAUUUAUACUCUCUACUAAUUGUUAAUAAUAAUUAUAAAUCUGAUUAAUUAUUAAUCAUAAGUUGAGAAAUUAAAAAAAAAAUAAAAAAUAAAACUUAUUACUACAUUUUACUUAUAAAAAUGUUUAUUAAUAAAUAAUGUCGAAAAAAUAGUCAAAAAUUUAAAAAAAAUGACUCUAUAAGAUAUUAUUAUUACUAUAUCGAAUGUAUAUAUUAUUUGAAAAAAAAUCUUUAAAUAUGAUUCUUUUUUUAAACUAAAUAUGAUUUUUGAUCUAUUAUAUUAUAUAGAAGUAAAAAUAACUUGAGGAAGCAUAACAGAGAAAAAUAAUUAUACCAAAAGUUGAAUAAAUUUAAAUUUACUGAAUAAUAUUUUACGAUACUAAAAUUAUAACUUAUUUUAAUUUUUAAUUUAAAAUUAUUUCAUUGUUGAUAAAAAAAUUAUAAAAAAGUAUGUUAUUAUAACUUAUAUUAAAACCUUAUUACUUGAUUUAAAAUAUUUCAAAUUCACUUUAGGAUUUUUCAAAUUAUUAAAUUGGUUUUUAAAGAUUAGUUAAGAUAUUGAAAAAUAGAAUAACAUUUGGGGACAAUAUUUCCCCUAAUUGAGUAUCAAUGUUUACAACCGGAUAUAUGAUAAAUCAGCCCCUCUGCAAUUGAAUUACAAUAAUAAAUCUAAAAAUAGAGAACCCAAAUCAAUAAAUAGGUUACCACCAAAGUUUAGAAAAUUAAUUCAAUGUUAAUACAAAAGAAAUUUAAUUACACUAUAAUAAUUUUUAUAAUAUAUUAAAAAAUAGUGUAAAUAAACCCGUGCAACGCACGGGUAUUAUUUCUAGUUUAAUUGUAAAAGCUUCUAGAGAAGGCUAUGUUGAUCAGAAAGAGCUUCAAUGGAAUUCCUAUGAAACCUUGGAUGAAUAGUUGGAGCUGGAGUGGUUGGUAAGUGUCAAACAGAUGUAAACAAAUGCAAUGAAAUAGAAAAAUAGCACCCAUGACCUAUGAACAAAGAAAGAAAAUCGUAAAAAUUGGGCUAAGCUUGACAUGCUUUUUAAAAUUGAGAUUUAGUUUGUUCUGUUUUUUACAAAGCCUUAGACUCUAAUAUGAAACAAACAUUCGUUCCAAUGUGCAGAACCAAUUAUCAUUGUGAGUCAUAUGUUAGGCUAUAUUAUCAUUUUGCUAUUCAAAUAUCUUAGACAUAUUCUUUAAAAUUAAAAGAUACUAAUCAAGUGUUCCCAAUAGUUAUGGGGUUUUUUGAAUUGCCCUUCCUGAGGUUUAAUAUUUAAUAUAUAGAAUUUAAUUCCCUAUUAAUGGGAGAAAUAAUUGGAAUAAAUUUCGUGGUUAAAAAAUUCAUGGGCGAGGGUAAAUAUUAGAGAUAAUGNNNNNNNNNNNNNNNNNNNNNNNNNNNNNNNNNNNNNNNNNNNNNNNNNNNNNNNNNNNNNNNNNNNNNNNNNNNNNNNNNNNNNNNNNNNNNNNNNNNNGAAAUUUUAAAUCUAUAUUGAUUUAUGAAUUUAUAAGAUUUUGUUCCUCUGAUAAAUGAGAAUCCAUGNAGUAAGAUGAUUUGCAUCUAAGUCUGCUCUGAAACCUAAAAGCGGGUUGUUGUUNGUAUUUGCGUAUAAUUUUCAAUUGUAAGUUUAAUUUUAAAGUACUAUAAUGCUAUCUACGUGAGAUUUUGUNUUAUAUAAAAAGUAUCAUUAUACUUUUNUUAUACAAUCAUUAUAUUCUAAACUAAUUAAUUGAUAUUAUUUUAAUAGAAUAAAUUUAAUAUAAUUAACUUUAGUAUUAUUUUCAAAAUUUAAAGAGUGUAUAUUUAUAUAAGUAUAUAACUAUAAUAAUUUGAUAGUAAGAAAAGUACGAGGAAUACAAAAUAUUAAUACAUAUGAACUAUAAAAUUAUGACCUGAAUUUAUUAGUGCUAACAAAUUAGAGUUACGAGAUCUCAUGGGGAGAAACAUUUUACAUGAAAAUGAAAAUUUGUACGAGUUAAAAAAAAUAAAAUUCAUUUUCUAUAACUUAAGUGUAUUUUUAAUAAUUUAAAAAAUAAUUAUAUAUUUAUGUAUUGUUAUAUAUCUAAAACACAAAAACAUUACCCUUUAUGCAACACGAAUAUACAUCUUCACAAACAAAAUUCAGUUAUACCUCACAUGCAAAAAUUAAAGCUUUUGGUUUAUUAACUUCUGUGUUUUUCAAAAUUUGUGCUCUUUAAAUAUCUACAUCUUUAUUAUGAUUAUUCUUAUAUUCUUAGCAUCUUAAAUAUUUAUAAUUUAAAAUAUGAAUCGAUAUAUCAAAUACAAUAGACAUAUUCCCCGUGCAACGCGCGGGUAAAAAAGCACUAGUACAAUAUACACUUUCCUAUGAUAACAAAUAUGUAGGGAUUGCUCUUAAAAAUGUCUCGCCAAUUAGAAGUUAAUUAGAACCCAAUAUUUAAUUUGCUGAUACAUGAUUGGAUAUAAUCGGUAGAGAUUCAAGAAUUCUAGUUUGUGGAGUAACUUACACAUUAAAUUUGUAAUAUUUAAAAUAUUAAAAUGAAUUUAAUUGUAAUGUACGAUCAAUGUAAAUAUUUUCACACAGACAACUAAUGAUGAAUCAUUAAAUUCGAAAAUAAACUUUGAAUUUAAUUAAAACUUGUAGUUUUGACCCGUGCGAUGCACGGGGGAUAUUCACUUUUAUUUAUUUUGUGUUUUUAUUAUUUUUGCUUUAUUUUCAAGAUAUUUUUGUAUUAAUAUAUUAUUUUGUAUAAGAAUUUUUUAAGGUUUUUUUAUAAAUGUGUUUUUUUUUGUUUGGUCGUGGCGUUGUGAUGGAUUUAGUGUGUCUUUGGUGUCUUGUCUCCCAUAAGACGACACACCACAUUCUUUUAACUUGUCUUGUUUUACAACCCUUGUUGUUUGCACGUUACCUUGGCAAUAUAGCGGGUUGUAUUACCUAUAUGCAGGAUUUUAUGUUAUUUGUUUUUACCUUGGUUGAUGUUACUCUAUUCAAGAGGAUUGAAAUACAUGUUCCGUCACCAGCCUGUCACUUCGUUAGGUUUUUCGUUGUGACGUGCUGUUGCAUCGCAUCCAUCUUUGGUGACAACAAAUACCCAUAUGCGCCCAACCUCUAGGGAGCUUCCUCCGGCCUGGGCUCGACCUUUUCCAAAUGUAGUGAAGGUCGAUUUUGAUGCUUUUGUUUCAUCAUUUAUUUCAGCUAGUUUUGACUUUUUGUUUUGAAUUUUUUUUUUUUAAUUAUGAUACAAUAUUUUCAUGAAGUUGAAACUUCCUGUUGUUAUUGGCAGUCCACAACAACAACUUCUCCUCCAAAAGGUUGGUUGAAACUGAAAUUAUUAGUAAAUAUUUUAAUAUCUUCGAGUGUUCAGUCUGCAACUUCAAAAUAAUGCUUGCGAAUAUUGAGUUCUUCGUCCUUUGAUCUUAUAGUUGUUGUUUAUGCUCUCCAAAUGAAAGUUUUCUCCGUUCCUCCAUAACCAUAGAAAAAAAACAUCACCCAUUUAUCUUAAUUAACUGUUGACAUUAUCAUCUCAUAAACACUUUUUUAUUCCGGUGUCAUGUUAGAUAGAAGAUGUACAUACUAUGUUGUUAGAUCUUGUCUAUCAUAAUAUAAUUCAUCCAUAAUAAGCUUAUUUUGAGAAGUUGGUAUUGAGGACCUAUCAAUUUAAGUCAUUUGGGGGAAGCCGACUAAUGACCUGAUGUUGCUUUGAAUAAAGUGAUUAUAUUUGCAAAUGCGAAAAAAAUUUAUUUGCUCCUUAGUAAGUUUUAAAUCUACAACAAUAUAAGAAGUAGUGUAAGAAAACUAUUGCAUUAUCAUUUUUAUUUUGAACAGUGGUGUUUUUAUUUUUUGAUAGACAAAUGUUAGUUGUUAGUAAUGUUAGUAAAUUAGUCACUCCUCAGUAUUCGAACCCUGAAACCUUCAUCCUUCAUUUUACCCAACCCUUAUGUCACAUAACUCUUACCACUUGAGCUAACCCUGUGGAACAGUGGUGUUUUAUAUAGUCUUUGUUUUAAAUGCGCUCACCUCUACGUUAUAUAAGAAGUUUUUGUCUUGCAAACUAAAGCAUCAUUCUAAGAACCUUUUUUUUAAUUUUAAAAUGACAUUGUUUAUUUUUUAUGAGAGAUCAUUUUUUUUAGUUUACACUCAUAAAAAUUUGAUUUUUUUAUUUGGUCUAUGAUUACUAAAUGUUAUGAAUAUCGUUUUAGAUAUUAAAUAUAUGUAAAUAUUACACAUGUUAUAUGGAGUUAUGAAAGUGAAAAGUUUUUUGCCUCAUGAAUUUAAUUCUUUAUUUUUUGUGAUGAUUAGACAUUUUAAAGGGAUAUUUAAACUCAAGAUUGUUAUAUCAACCUUAAUUAUUCAUUCAAUUACACAAUCAAAAUAUAAAUAGAUUAAUGGUAUUUAAAUUAUUUCUUUCCGUUUCAAUUUAAUUAAAUUUCUAAUUAUUGUGUUUUUAAUGACAAUAAAUUACAUUAGCUUUAUGAGUAAAUGAUAUUUAAAUCAUUUAUUUCAAUCUAAUUGAAUUUUAAAUCAAUAAAACUGUAAUUUUAGAUACUUAAAAUUAAAAUUAAAGGCAAUUUUUCUUUUAAAAUAUAACGUUUGUAUUUAUUUCAAUUUGAACAUAUACUUUGGUAUGAUACAUAUCUCAUAUCUACAUCUCUGACAUUUCUUCCUUAAAUAUUUUAAAAUUAUUUUUAAUCAAGUUUCAUAUAUUAUCCUUAUAAUUUAAAAAAAUUCCAACAUUUUCGCAUAUCUCAUUUAUAUUAUUUAUUCCAUCCUACCACUACAAUAAAAAAAUGAGUGUCAUAUAUUAAGAUUAACUAUGACAUCAAUUAUUAUAAUUAUUAAUAUAGAAUGGAACUUGAAAAGUUUGUAUUCUAUAUACUAUAAAUUUAUUGAAUGCACUUCAAUUUUAUAACUUGUGCCCCUUUACAAUCCACUUGCAAGCUUCACCUAAAUUCCAUGUAAAUGACAUUGUUUCAGGUUCUAUUACUCAUAUAAAUUUUUCAAUUUAUGAUUAGAUUUAAAAAUAUUAUUUAUAUUUAUAUGUCUUGGUCUGUUAUUUAUUUUUUGCAAUAGUAACAUAGAACAAUUUAUUUAUUUAUUUUAUCUAUUUGAAACAAAAUAUGUGUUUUAAUAUAUUUUCCUUAAAAUUGGAACAACAUAGAGUUCACUCUAUUUAACUCAUGAGCAGUCAAUCAAUCUAAUGUAGUGGUGCAAUGCACAUGGUCGUUGGACUCUCGACAAAAUAAAUCGGAAAAGCAAAAAAACACUGUACACUUUUAAUAACCAAAUGUAGAUAAAAAAAAACAUUAACCGCUAAAUUAUUUCCUUAAAUUAAAUAAAAAUAUUAAACAAUUUAAGUUUCUUUGUUCGAAGAGAAAAAUGUAUAGUAAAAAAUAGCGGCCCCCAAAACAUAUAUAAUUUAGUCCCUUAAUGUAUCAACUGUAUAUCAUAAUAAAUUUUAAACUUCUUUAAGAUAAAAUAUCUAAUUCUUUUAUGCAAAGACGUUCAAAGACAAAACUAAACUUCAAUUUACAAAGAACACCCUAAACAAAUUCACAUAUGCUUCAUUACUUAAGGACAUGGAUAACCCAUUAGUUUCAAUCAACUUCUCUAUAAUAUUCUUCAAAUCAUUGUGUUUCAAUUUUAGAGUUAAAUUUCUAUUAUGUUUAAAAAUACAUUUUAAUGUGUACAACUUUUACUAUUAUAAUUACUAAUAAUAUAAAUAAAAAGAAACAAUAUACCGAUGAACUUGAAGAUUCUUCUAUCAGAUUUAAAUAAAAUUUAUAGAUUUAACAUUUGUUUUGAGUAAUUCAAAUUGAUGCACUUGUUGCUUUAACAUUUCUCUGCAUCACUACCCCUCCAACUUUGUUUCAUUGUCUACCAUACUUUUAUGGUUUUCAUAACAUGCUUUGCACUAUAUAGACUUUAUGAGCCACCAUAGUUUUCAAUCUUCUUCCACGGACUUACAAAACCUUGAUGAACAAUGUUGGGGUCUUCAACCGUCGUCUAUUUCAUUCUUCUUUAAUCCACACUUCUAAAGAUAUAUGUGUCUUUGUUGUAGUUGCAUAUCUAUCAUUCUUUUUCGCUACCAAUAGAACAAAUCACUUGAAAUACUUAACUCAAAUUCUUGCCCAUAUUAGAACAAUAUAUGGAUGAGAGAAAAUGAGAUGAAUUUCUUAAGGAUAAAAAAAGUAUAAGAAGAGUGAAGGAAUAGAUACCACAUCAUGUAAAGAUAAUAAUCAUGAAUUUGAAGCUUGGUCAUCCUCAGCAAUCGUAUCGUAACUGUUGCAGCAACUACCCUUCAUAGCGUGCAUUUUCCUAAGCAAUUCAGUUUAUCUUCCAAGUUGUUCAACUAUGGAAGCAAGAGUUCCUUCAUCUUGAUUAUUUAAACCAAAUUCCAAACACAAAUUUUUAUUUUUGUGUUUCAAAGCCACGUCAAAAAAUGAUGCAAGUUGAGUCUUCACCCAAUAAAAUAACAAUUUAUAAAUUCAAGCAUGGAAGUUUAAAGGAAAGAAAUACAAAUUUAUUAGAUAACUUUCAAAUCAUGAUUUAUUUACACAUGUGUCUUACUUUACGUGUUCCCUCAUAUCAAUCUAAUUUAUCCUCUUCUCCACUAGCACAGUUUGAACCUGAAAUUAACAAAAACCAAAUUAUGAUAUUCUAAAUUAGAAGCUCAAACGUUAAUAGACACACUCACUUUUUAAAAAAGUGGCAAAAGACAAAGAAAUAAUAUAAUAGAAGGAAAAAGCAAAAAGUACAGUGAAAAAUCAUUCACCAUUUGGGAGUUUGAUCAAGCUUGAAGUGUCUGUGACCGAAUCUACUAUAAACCAUAUAAAAAGCAAAGAUAAAGGUAAGAAAAAUGGCAAAAAAAACUAUGGAGCAAAGGGGUAUUUAUACUUGUAGUUUAAGCUUUGAAGAAGAUGGAAGGUUUAAAAAAACUGAAGAAUAUUGAAGGUUUCUUCAAAGGUUUUUAGGACCUCAUAUGAAUGAAUGUAUUGAUUUUUACAAUUAAGUUUAGUGAAUGCAUUUGGGAAUGCAAAAAGACAAUGAGAUUGCAAUGAAACGGACGGCUAAGAUUCAAUCUAAGUGAAAUAAAAUACAUUUUUACUAAAAUAUUCAUGGUCAAGCUUCAUAGUUUUUGGAAUUAAUUGUUGAAUGACAGGUUUGCCCCCAAGGUUUCACAAACUCCCCCUUUAUAUAGUUUAUAGAUAAUCAGAAACAUAAAUGUUUUUAAUUACGUGACAUUCAUUUGUGACAUUCAUUUAUUGAAUGUCUGUGUAAAAAUAUUUUACACUGAUCAUACACAAUCGUUAAAAAACUCUAUAAAAAUAAUAUAAAAAAAAUUAAAUAUGCAAUCAUAAAAUUGAAUGGAAUUUUCAAACAGCGGCCGAAUUUACUCAAUGCAGGAAAAUACUCUGGCAAAUUUCUUUCUAAACUUAACCAAGAGCACAAGAAACUUGGAAAUCUUGUUUCAAUGCCAAAUGACUCAAAACCCCAAAGAAAAACAUAGGAAAACACUCUUAUCUAUAGAUAUUUGCUUCAAAGAUUUUAGAUGAUGAACACAUACACACAUAAUGCCGGCUAGGAGCAUGUAUUAUUCAAAAAAAAAAACAAUAAGAUGGGUAGUUGAAGCUGUAUACUAGCAAUCCAUACGCACCUAAUUAGUCAAACCAUGCGCAUGCGUGCUUGGAGUUGGAGUUCUACAUCAAAUAAUAUGUUCAAAUGUGAUUCUAUAUUAUUCGUUUCUUGGCAACAAGGCAAAGAUCAAUUUUCUUGUGCAUCACUAAUCCAGGUUUCUCUUGGGUGCCCAACAUUUCUUCCUUGUCAAUUCCAGGUGGGAGUUCCCAAUCAAAUGAGUGGAGAAGAUUUACUAGUGAAAGCUCAACCGCGGCUACUCCCAUGUUCAUCGCAGGACACAUUCUCCUUCCGGCUCCAAAUGGAAUCAGCUCAAAAUCUCCCCCCUUGUAGUCUAUCGUACUCCCAAUGAACCUUUCAGGGUAAAAUUCUUCAGGGUCUUCCCAUCUUUCAGGGUCCCUUGCUAUAGCCCACGCAUUAACAUGCACUAGAGUUCUUGGUGGAAUCUCAUAUCCAUCUAUGUUGCACCUUUCCCUUGUUUCCCUUGGCAGAAGUAAUGGCAGAGGUGGGAAUAAUCUGGUUGUCUCCUUCACCACUGCUUUGAAGUAAGGAAGUCUUUCAAUAUCAUUUUCACUUACAAAACUUUUGUCCCCAAAUAAGUCUCCAAUUUCCCCUUGCACCUUGUUCAUCACUCUAGGAUUCUUCAAGAGUGCCAUCAUGGCCCAAACUACUAUAGCUGAACUAGUGUCUGUUCCUGCAAUAAAGAUGUUCUGUAUACAUGUGCAAUCAAAUAAUUAACAACAUUUUUUUAAGUAAUCAUGUUAUGUAAAUGAACAUAAUACAUUUGUGUAACCAAAAUUUAAGGCGAAACAUGUUUUGCAGCAAUUUCUAACAACCAUAAAUUGCAAUUUGUAAAAAAAAAAAACAACUCUGCAAAUUAUGACGAUGAGAAACCACAAUAAUGAGUAGGUGUGGUGGGUGUCAUUUGUUAGAAUAUAAUAUAAAAUUAUUUAUUUAAUUUUUACCCAACAAAUUUAAUUUUUUGGAUAAUUAACUAGUAUGUUACCCGUGCAUUGCACGGGUUGCGGUCGGUUGACCGCGAUUGAUUUUAUUUAACAUUUUUUUUAAUUAUUAAACAUAAAUUAAUAUUUUUGUGAUAAACAAUUACAAUAUAUAUUUGUGUUUAUAAAGUACAUAUAAUAUUCGAGAUUAUUUUAGCACAUAGUUUUUUUUUUAAAUGUUUGAUUAUUUUUAUGAUAAAUUUAUAAUGUGCCAAUAUUUUUUAAGUUUCUUUUUAUAACUAAUCUCUAUAUAAUAUAAAAAUUUAUCAUGAUAGAAAUAGAGAAAAUUCUUUUUGGUACCAUAGAUAUUUUCUCGUUAAUUAGUGAAAUUAUUUAUUUAAAUAUUGAAAAAAUAAUUUAUACUUAAAGUUAAUGUAAAAAGUAAGAAUUUUUAAAAAUUAUUAUUUUUGUUAGCAUAGAUAUUUUCCCCGUUUAUUAAUGAAAUUAUUUAUUUACACAUUGAAAAACUAAUUUCAUACUAUAAGUUAAUUUAACUAACCCUAACUAAAUGACGACAUAUAUAACUAAUCUAUAUAUAAUAUAAAAAAAUUAAAAUUUAUUAUUUUAGUCAGCAUAGAUAUUUUCCCCAUGGAUUAAUGAAAAUAUUUAUUUAAACAUUGAAAAAAUAAUUUUAUAAUAAAAUUUGAUAUAAGUUAACUCUGUAUAAAUGAAGAUAUAACUAAUCUCUUUUUUUUUGACAACAAAAGAUGAAUAUUAUUAAUAUCAAAUGCAAACAUGAGAACAACCCUCUCAUGGCUAAAUCAUUUGAGAUAUAACUAAUCUCUAUAUAAUAUAAAAAUUCUUCAUGUAAAUUUUUUAUAAAAAUAUUAUUUUGGUUAGUAUAGGUAUUUUCCCAUUGAUUAAAGAAAUUAUUAAUUUAAACAUUAAGAAGAUAAUUUAUACUAUAAGGUCAUUUAAUUAACUCUAAAUAAACGAUGUUAUAACUAAUCUAUAUAGAAUAUAAAAUUUCAUAAUGUAUGGAUUUUUAAAAAAAUUAUGAUUUUAUUUAGCAUAAAUAUUUUUCCCGUUGUUUCCCGUUGAUUAAUGAAAUUAUUAUUUAAAUAUUGAAAAAUAAUAUUAUACCAAAAUUUAAUGUAAAUUAACUAUGUAUAAAUGAAGAUAUAAUUAAUAUUUAAAUAAUAUGAAAUUCCUCAUGUAAGAAAUUUAUAAAAAUAUUAUUUUAUUUACCAUAGAUAUUUUUCCCGUUGAUUUAUGAAUUUAUUUAUUGAAAAAUAAAAAAUAAAACUAACUUUAUACUAAAUUUUAAUAUAAAUUCUGUAUAAAUAAAAAUAUAACUAAUCUCUAUAUAAUAUAAAAAUUAAUUAUGUAGAAUUUAAUAUUAUUAUUUUAGUUACGAUAUUUUUCCCGUUGAUUUAUAAAACUCUUUUUAAUCAUUGAAAAAAUAAGUUUGUAGUAAAAUUUAAUAUAUAAAUUAAUAAAAAUAUAUUAUCAAAAAAAAUUAAUAAAGAUACAAUUAAUCUCUAUUUAGUAUAAAAUUCAUUAUAUAGGAAUUUUAAAAAAAUAAUUUCAGUUACCAUAUUUAUUUUCUUGUUGAUUUAUGAAAUUAUUUAUGCCCGUUGAUUAAAAAAAAUUAUUAUUUUCAGUUAGCAUGUACAUCAAUAAGCUCUUCAGUGUUUACAAUUCUCAUAAAUCAUCCCAUUACCGUCCAAUUCAGUCAAACGAUUUAACAAACCAUUUUGAACCACAAAAUACAUAACUCAAACAACAUAUUUAAACCAAACAACAAAAUUAAACAGUUUUAGAUGCUUAAAGAAAGAAGGUUGUAGCCUUGCCUAUAACAGGUCUUGCCUAACGAAAGCAAAGUGACAGAAAAGCUGCUUUAAUAGGUUGUUCCCGUUGAUUAACGUGAAGCUUUGUAUGACUUUUAGUGAAGACAUCUAAGGAUUUUAAAGCACAUAAAAGUGCAUUGGACACAUUAGCCCUCCAAAAAGCGAUUAUGCAAAGCAUAUUGGCUAGUUUCUUGCUUUCAGAAGAUGUAAAACUCAGAUCAUAACAUUAAAUUUCCAAAAAGUAGAAAAUUUAAGCUUUGAGAAUUCUUUAAAAGCCUUGUUGUCAAUUAACAGCUACUUAAAGUUAUAAAUUUCAAUUGCAAACCUAACAUACUAAAAAUCAAACAAAACCAUACAUGAAAGUACAUUGGACACAUUAGCCCUCCCUGGAUGAAGGACAUCAACGACCUACAGCACACACUUAAAACAUAUACAGAAAAGAUUACUAAUCUUAUCAGCAUCUAGAGCCAAAGUAGCCUACACUUCUUAAUUUUCUUACUAAUCUAAACAACAUCUAAAGCCACCUCUAGUUGUUCCAACAUUGUCACAUAUCACCCGAAUGCCCCAGCAGCUUAGAAACCAGAUGCAAGUUAGUCUGCAAGAAUAAGUUUACUAUUUAGUAUUUAGCUAUAGUUUCCAUGAAAUAUUAAGCAAUGGUUGUUACAAUCUCCAACCACCAGGAUUGUGAGGAGAAAAAGACGCAUAUAAGAAAGAAGAGCAACAUUAGAUGACAGAUAUUUAAAUAAAUGUUAUAAGUUAUAACAACCACAAACAAAAAGUAAAGAAGUACGGAAAAUAGCAUUUUUCUAUCUGUCAAGAAGAAUGAUCUUACCCGAGCUAUUCUAUCUGUCAAGGGAUUAAUGCAAACUGAUUUAGAAAUAUCUCUGACUGGAAUUGAUAACUAAACUAGAUUUUCUCCACAUCAUAGAUAUCAUGCAGCUGAUCUCAAUCCUUGACUGAUGUCCGUAGUUCUGUGUGCAUGCUUGUAGUACAGCUCAACGGUGAAGGAACCCAUGGAAGUUUCCAGCGUAACCUCCGGCGACAUGAUAAAAGACUAUGUUUGAAUGAUACAGUCACUACUUGGAGCCACAUCAGUAAAUGUAGAAUCUGCACCAAAAAGAUAGGACAUCUUGAAAUUAGAAGGUUGAAUGAUGGGUUUAAGAUAAUUAAGUGAGCGAAAAAAAUACAAUAACACCAAAUGAGCCUUUAGAAGAAUAANNNNNNNNNNNNNNNNNNNNNNNNNNNNNNNNNNNNNNNNNNNNNNNNNNNNNNNNNNNNNNNNNNNNNNNNNNNNNNNNNNNNNNNNNNNNNNNNNNNNCUUUAAAAGCCUUGUUGUCAAUUAACAGCUACUUAAAGUUUUUUUUUUCAAUUGCAAACCUAACAUACUAAAAAUCAAACAAAACCAUACAUGAAAGUACAUUGGACACAUUAGCCCUCCCUGGAUGAAGGACAACAACGACCUACAGCACACACUUAAAACAUAUACAGAAAAGAUUACUAAUCUUAUCAGCAUCUAGAGCCACCUCUAGUUGUUCCAACAUUGUCACAUAUCACCCGAAGGCCUCAGCAGCUUAGAAACCAGAUGCAAGUUAGUCUGCAAGAAUAAGCUUACUAUUUAGUAUUUAGCUAUAGUUUCCAUGAAAUAUUAAGCAAUGGUUGUUAAAAUCUCCAACCACCAGGAUUGUGAGGAGAAAAAGACGCAGAUAGGAAAGAAGAGCAACAUUAGAUGACAGCUAUUUAAAUAAAUGUUGGAUAGAGUGAGAAAUUCAUUGUUAAUUGCAAUGCAUUAUUCAUGAACUAAACAGAUUCCUCUUCUUAAUCUUCUCAUUCAGCAAUGCUUCUACAUGCUAUUUGGUGAGAAUGUCAGAGAACCAAACAAAGAGUUCUACGAAUAGAAUGACAAUAGAGAAAAAAAAAACACUAUAUUUGACUUGAAUCUAAUAUUUGACUAUUGACAUAUAUCUAAAUGAUUGAAACUAUUUUUCUUGUCCUCAAAGUUACAAAUUACGCGUUGAAGUUGCAAGCAUCUCGCAUUAUAUGUAGAAAGAAAGGGUUAUCCGUCUUGGUUCUUAAUGGAUUAAUAUCAUCAUGUUCUUUAAAAUAAUUUAGUUGUGGAUGGACUUUUACUUUAGAAUUGAAAUGAGCCUUAUUAAAUGCUCAAGGAGAAAGUCGAAUCAGUACCAAGGAACUCUUUAAUUUUAGACCCAUAAAUAAAAAACAACAUUAACAACAUCCCCAGCAGCAAGGAAUGUAUUCAACUGAUAGUAAAAAGUAGGAAAUACAGAACAAUUAUAAAUCAAGAACAAAGUAGAAGGGAUAUUAUUCAAUGGGGAAUGAAGGAAGCCAACAGAUUAUGCACAAUGGAAACCAAUUGCAAUAUAUAUACUAUCUAAUUCACCAUAAGGAAGAUAUGAUCAUUGGAAAAUAGCUAACAAUCAUAGCUAACCUGUAUCAGAAUGGUUAUUUGAAGCAGCUCCACUCGGAGAUCUUAUCAUAGUUCGCAUCCAAUUUGUUUUGGACUCUAUUCUUCUUCUUGCUGAUCAUCUGUAGAUAUCAAAGAUAAAUGUCAGUCAAUAUCUAAAGAAGCAGCCCAAUUUGGUUUUUCAAGAACUUAUAGUUCUGAAAAGCUAAAGUAUGCUGGUAGUUUCCAACUUCAACUAAAAAUCAACAAUAGAUCAGAUUAGUAUAAUAGUAUGGGUAGAAUGAAAUAUUGAGAUUUCAAUAGAGUAUAAAGACGAGUUUUUUCUAAAAAGCAGAUUAGCAAUAAAAAAAGUACACAAAAUACAUAGUAUAGAGAGGCUUACUAUGGUGGUAUAAACACAAACAAAACAACACACGAUAGUAAACUUAACAUUGGAUCUUAGAGGAUAAUAAAUCAUGAAGAAUAAUCAAAAUUUAUACCAUGAUUUAAACUUAAUAUUCACAAUUACAGCACAUGAUAGUAAUAUGUCAUCAUUGCAAUUAUUAGCAUGAGUAGUUGAACUGUACAUUAUUAGCAUGAGUAGUAGAAACAAUACAAUUGAAAGGGGGGAAAAGCUUUAGCAGCAAAAACAUGUUAAAGAGCAAAUGCAGCUUCUAUCUUGAGAAUGAACUAACCUUAGAGUUGAGGGAUUCUGUUUGUAAAACCACGGGUGAUCAUAUUUCGUCCCGUCAACCCAGAGAUUCAGUUCUGUUGCACAAAAUAGAGAAAAGAAGAAUCAGACAAAAAGAAACCAAAAGAAAGAUAUAAUUAUAAAGAUGAAGUCCAAUCAAUACUAAUAUCUAAUUUUCUCAAUUUCAACAAUACUAAAAUCUAAUGAAAUUUGUUGAAACUGUGUAGCAAUUUGCCAGCCUCCAACAGAAAAAUUGUUUGAAAUAUAUGCUUUAAUCAUUAUAGAAGAUUAGAACAAAAUCCCAUACAUAAGAAGAUGAAAACCAAGGAUUGUAAUGGAAAAUCAAGAAAAAAUUAAGCUCAAAACAUUAUAUCUACGCAUAUUAGGCUUUUGAAGACUAAUUUUUGCAGAAAUAAAAGAAGAUAAUAACUAAAAUUAGAAAGGGACCUUGGUUAUCAGUGAGAUUCCCAUCUCUAACCUGCAACGUAUUUAGGAACACCGAACACCAAUGAGAUUCCCAAUUCAAAUCACAAUGUAAAGGAUAUAAACUAAAAGAGCAAGGAAGAAAAUUCAAAAUUGCAAUUAGAAUUAUCUAACAAAAAAUUCGAAUAAGAUGAAAAUGGUUUAACCUUGCAUCAGAUCCAGACAGUGAGAUUUCACGGGUUUGGGUGGCAGACUUAGGGGCAGUGAGGCAGAAAUCUUAAGUGAGGGUUUCAAACAACAGCAGAUCCUCUUACCCUGACCGCGCUGCAAGGAAGGAAAAUAUUUGUGGAUUGCGACAAACAAAAAAGGUUAUGAGGGGAGCUCCAACUCUUCGGAUAGCAAAGAAGACCUUUUCUAAUAGAUUUUGUCACAAAACAAAUGGCAAAGAAGACCUUUCCAGGUAGAGUUCAAUUCAAAGUUGUAGAGAAGAAGAUUCAGAUGAGAGAUGCUUGUAGAAGACCAACUUAGAAGAACAACAUAUGGAUUUUUUUGGUUCUUCUAGAGAUAAAAUCCGGAUUUGGAAAGAGAUAAGAUUUAUUCAAUUUUUUAUUAUUUCUCUUUCUAACAUGUCUGACCUUAGCAGAACUUUUUCAAAACAAAUUUUUGAAUUAGGGAGGGAAAUUCAAAGAAACAUAGCAGAACUAAAAAUGAAGGAGAAAACUUAAAUAAUCUAAAAAUUUGAGAGAAGGACACGUAACCCAGUUAGGGGUUUCUUUUCUUAGAGUAUAUUGAUUGUUUGAUUGUACAAAGUAUUUAUGACUUAGCGAUCUAGAGUUCGAUCCUUGCUCCCCUCACUUUCUAAUUAAAAAUGUGGAAUUUAAGCACAUGAUAGGUGAACUUGUGCAUUUAUCUACGUUUCAAAUCCAAAGCACUACAAGAAAAGUGGCCUUUACCGACAAAUUUGUAGCGGCAAUAAGCAUAUUGUCAGUGAUUUAUUUGAGAAUUUUUAAAAUCCGUUAUAACUAAAGAUUGGUUGGUAUUAAUUUCAUUAUACUGGCAAUUAGUGAUAAUGAUAAUUGCCCACUAAAAGAGCACGAGCACGAGCACGAGCACUUCGCAUGCGUUUACCCCUUCAUUCCCUUUUUUACCCUUUUCGAAUGUUUCUCUGUUUUCUUUUCGUUUCUCUCGCCGCAAGAGAAGAGAACGAUGAAGACGAACGAACCAGAGGCGGUGGGCGAUAAACGACGACGAAUGUCUAUCGAGGGUUUCUUGAGAAACUUGUGUUAUACCUUGUUGUACCUGCAUCAAAAUCAGGUCGUUCAUCAGUAUUUUGGAUCUGCAGGGAAGGAUCUCGCUGAUUUCACCUUUGCUUUUUUCUAUCUAGGUUUCGUGAUUUCUAGCUGUUCUUCACAUGCUUUUCAAUUUGUUCUUAUAGUUGUAUUGGAGAUUUCAAUUGUUGUUCAAAUAUCAAUAAAUUUCGGAAUUUCUCCCUGCCUCAGUUCGCUCAGAAAGCAAAUUCAUGUAUGAAGAAAGUUGAGGUAUGAUUUUUAAUCCUAGGAUUUUUAUCUUCACGUAAGUGUUGUCAAAUCAGUUUUUUCUUUUUGGCUUUUGAGGCUGUAGAACACAAAUAGCUUAAUGUGUGGAUUUUUCCAAAAUAACUCAAUGUGUGAUAAUUAAUCAUUGCAAUUUUCCUAAAGUCAUUCAAUCAUGUCUACACAUCUUUGUAGGAAAUUUAUACUCAGAUGCAUUGCUUCCGCUGGAUUUUGAUUCAAUUUAAACGGUUAGAUUCCUUGAAUUGCUAUAUUUGUCAUUGUGGGGUGAUUCUCUUUGUAUUGGUUGCAGGUUACUUGCAUAAUCUUCUACUUUAUCACCUUGUUUGCCUCAUUGGGUGUUCAUGCAUGCACCUGUUUCUCGUAAUUUUGAUUUGUAGCCAUUUGGAAAUAUUCCUAUAAUUCAAGGGUGGAGAAAGAUC